UCUUCAUAUACUUUCAUUAUAAUUAGUACAUACACAAUUAUUUAAAUAAAUAAAUCUGUUUCAGCUAGUACAGGAAAUUAAUUAAUCAAAGCUAGUAGUUAUAGCUAGGAUCUGAAUUACAGAGUUCAAGAGGAGCAUCUGAACAGAAUGAAAGUCCUUUAUAGAAAUGGUAAUGUCGCUUUACCAUUUAGAUAUCUUCUAGAAAGUACUUACAUCACGCAAUUAGGGACCGAUAUUUAAUGACAAUAACAAUCCAAAAGAUUGGGAGGGCCAACUAAAGGAAUAAAUCACUCAACCAAACCCUUAGGGACAGAUAGUUAAUGACAAUAAUAAAAGAUCCAUUCCUAUGCAUACGAGCUUAGUCUAUUAUGUUAAAGAGGCACCCUGUUGUUCGAUAGUCAGCACAACAAGUGAUCAAUGAGGUUGUUGCACAGACUGAUGACAUGGAAUUACGGCUCAGCCCAAGUGGUUCUGUGAUCUGUAGUAGACAAGCUGAGUAGUGGGAUUGGUUAGCUUGAUUUGCUGUGAAUAGUAGCUUAGUUAACAAGUUUGUUAGAUUACUGCAUAUAAAGCAAGCGAACUCUCUGUGUAUUCAUACUGUGAAGUAAAUCAAUCGAUUCAUUUUCUCUCAAAUCUCAAUGGUACUUUCUCUAUUUAAAUUUUAAAAUACCUUUAAUUAGGAUUAAUUAGAUUUUUCGCUUAUUAGGAUAAAAGCGAGAAAAAAGCACAACUACAAAAUUUGAUUGCAAAGUGUAAACCUACAAUUUUUUUGGGUAAAACAUGGAUAGUAAAACAUACAAUUAAAGAAGGAGAUAAAAAGCGUUUAUAUUUCACCUGAUUAGUUUCAGAAUUUGAGUGGUCUCAUCCCCACCAGCCAUUGAAUCGUUGAUAUGAUCACAUGCAUUGUUUUUAGAGGCACACAGGAGAGGUCUAUUUAGCACAACUAGCGUGACAAACGUUUUGCUGCACUCGUAGCAGACACUUGUACGACCGAUCGGGAUGGGUGAUUUCUGUUUUGCAACAACUUUCUGAAAAGUUAUGAAUGAUCACCUUCAACUUUUUUGGCAUCUUCUCUUCCCUGGCAUAAAUUAUAUGUGUUAUGAAUGAAGCACCCUUCAGAGUUCAAGAGGAGCAUCUGAACAGAAUGAAAUCACUUUGUAGAAAUGGUAAUGAUGCUUUACAUCUACAUGCUCUUACACAAUAUGAACUUUCAUUUAUUCAAGAACAUAACACUACCCCAAGCUCUUAUUCUACAAGUCAAUUCAGUUUGUAGAUGCACGCCAUUGUAAAAACUUUUGUAUUAUAAUUUCUGAAAAUAGAACGUAACAUUAUUAAUAUAGAAUCAGCAAUGUAUAUAACUUAUCAGACAAUAUAACAAGCACUUGGUGAGCAUACAAGAUAAACUAAAACAAGCUUUAAACAUAAAAUUAAAGUAAAUCGAAUUGCAAAACAUUAGAAUGGAUGUUGGAAUUAAAGCUAAAUUCAAUAGUAAUUCAAAUGAAUCCAUUUGAACUUUGUAAAUUCCGCAGAACAAAAUUAAUUUGAGAGAGCAAACUCACCAAUGGAACAAGAACACAGGGGCUUCAACUUGUAGGAAUAAAAAAAUAUUGCUGGCCGGACAAAAAUUGACAAUAACGGCUACAAUACGAAUUAAAAAAAAAAUCAAAAUCUAUAAUUACAAGCUAAGUGCGAGAAGAAACUCAUAAUCACAAGCUUAACUCAAAAGAUGAAGGGAGAAUACGAUGAAGAAGAGGAUGGCCAGUGUUUUACGCCGUUCGCCGGCAACCAGUUAGGUUUACGAUGGUGGCUAGUAACACGGAGUCCAGCGAAUAGUAGCAUACCGAACGGCUCUUUACCGUCACGUGGUUAGUAACAUAUGUGACUGCAGUGUGGCCGUCACAUAAAAGGUAUCGGGGUUACAAAGUUAGUGAUAUACGUAAUGGCUGCUUUUGCAUUCACAUUAGGGGUCACAUAUACCCUAUUUUCUUGUAGUACAUGGUAAAUUCUAUUUGAAAAUUGCUAAGUAUUUUAGAUUUGUACGAAUUCAUUUUUGUGUGCUCGUUGGAUAAUAAUUUAUAAUAAAUUAAAUUUUUGGUGUAAUUUUCACAAUAUUGUAUCAUAAAUAUGUCUCGUUGAGAGGUUUUGAAAUCGUUUUGAUUGAUCAUAAUUGAUAUUUCCACAAUUGCAAAAGAUGCCAGAGAAAAUUUGAUUAUCUUAAGAAAUGAGUGUACGAGAUAUGAAAUCAACCAUACCAUAAAAUCAAAUUUUAUCGUGUCAUCCUUCCUAUUUCAAAUUUAUGGAAACAAUAAUCAAAUGCAUCCAUGAAUUAAUAUAUUUCGACAUAUAUACCAUCAAAUUUUUGCUAUGUCAUGCUUACAUAUAUAUAUAUAUAUAUAUAUAUAUAUAUAUAUAUAUAUAUAUAUAUAUAUUGAAAUUUUAUUAACACCAAUUGGGCCAAGCAUGUGUUGGUACUUGAACAUUUAUAAGUCCCAUCCUUGAAAAAAUAAGGCUUGGCUGUUCUCAAUCUAAUUCUUUUUGUUUUAAGUUCUUAAUUAAGCUUUCUUGCUUGUUUUCAAGGGCCAGUUUUGUAAUGAUCUGCAAACAUGAUUUGCAUAUAUUGCACUUGGCAUCUAUGCGUCACUUAUUAAUUAGAUUUAAAUUUUAUAAAUUAAUUAAGCUGAUUAAUACUUUAUAUGUGCACCAAAUGAUAGAUACUACAUAAAUUGGGAUACUAGUAACUACGUAUCCCAACUAUUUAAUAUUUGUUUGUCGCAAAUCCAAUCAUGGCCUGAUAUCCUAAAUAUUAUUUAGGAUACCAUUUCAAGCCCCAUGAGGGCUCUUUCUGUUUUUUUUUUUUUUAAAGUAUGAAAUAGAUGUAGAUUUUUCUUUAGAUAUUAUUAGUGAGAGUACCUUUGGUGGCAAUGGUCCAGCAUGAUUUGGGAUUUGACAAUUCCACUCUCAUCUUAAUUAUCAAAUGGAAUGUAAGUAUCGAUAAACUCGUCCAGUUUAUAUAUUUGUGAUCAAAAUUAGGACCAAUCUCAAACCACUCGCAAUCAUGUCCCAUCCUAACUAUCCUGAAUGUCUCGAAUGCCUCCCUUAAUUAUCAUUUUAAUUCUCGUUAACAUAUUAGCAAAAUUUCCAUAUAUUAAAAAUAUUAGGGUCCGACUAUCUAUACUUUAAAAAUUAUUAUGCACAAUCAAUUAUUUAUGCACUCAUCUAAUAAAUUUAAAAAAUUAAGUUUUACUUUCUACACUUUUUAAAAUAACAAAAACAUCUUUACGUGAACCUAAUAAGUUUCUUGAAAAAAAUUAAAUCAAUUAUUUUUAUUUAUUCAAAAUACUAAUAAAACUAUUCAGGAAAAUUUUUAAGAAAUUUAGCAUAUACAACAUUGAAAUCAAUUUAUGUUUCAAGUAAAUUCUUUAACACGAUUUUAGUUAUUACUUAUUGUUUAUUAAAGUAUGUGUUCACUAUUGUUUUUAAUUUUUUUUUUAAUCAAAAAAGAAGAAGAAGAAGAAGAAGAUGUUUGUGGUUUAAGAUACAUUUAAUUUUUAGUGUAACAGUUGUAUCAAACCAAUAAAAACUAAAAGAUCCAAAAGUCACAAGUUCCAAUACCACCCAAAUGAAAGGCCCCGUUAGGAUUGUUUUUGGGAAGUUCAAAAGUAAUUCUAAAAAUUAAAAACUAAUUUUUAGUGUUUUAUAAAUUUUUUUUGUAAUUACUUUUGGCAAAAUCAUCUCAUCGUACAAUAGAUUUUGUAAAAGUAGGGAAUGAAAAGUUUUUUUAAAUCUAAUUUUGAGAAUCACUUUUAUAUUUAAUCAAAUUCUAUAUAGAUAUCCUCAUUAUAUAAUAAAAAUCUAAAAUUAUCUUUAUUAAUUAAGAAAUAAAAUCAUUAACUUUAAAGAUAUUGUUAUUAUUACCAAUUAUAUUGAGAUAACAAAAUAGAGAAUAAAAUUUAAUAAUAUAAAAUAUUUAUUUUAGUUAUCAAUAAUUAUAUGUAAGUAAUAAAAAUAUUUUAUAUACAUGUUUGUAAAUGUGUAAAUACAAUUCAGUCAUUUACAUUAUUGUAUCAGUUUAACAAUAAAAUUUAUGAAACACAUACGAUAGCUUUUAAAACUAAAAGUACUUUUAAAAAUAAAUUUUACUAAAUGUUUAGCUGAUUCUCUUCACAAUUGAUCAAUUUCUACAACAUAACGAACUGUAAUUAUUUUAAAAGGUACAGGAUUACCAAACUGACCCUAAACCAAACCAAGAAAAAUGUUUAAAAGUAAUAAUAAUAAACCAAAGUAAACGUACAAAAAUUCAUGCAUAAAUUGAUAAUCAACAAAAACAUCCAAAAGUUUUACUCCAAGUUUUCUAUUCAAUUGACAUAACACUUAAAUUUGAAAAGGCAUAAUCAAUUUUGUGUCUAAUCCUAUAAAAUUAGAAAAUUAAAGAAUAUUAUAUUCUUAUAAUUAAAUAAUAUGCAAUUAAUAAUGUUAAAACAUAUUGUGAACUAAAAUGAUUGGGAGAAUUGGAGUUCUAAGAUAAAUUCCUAUCUAAUCCCAAAUCAACAAUUGUGAUUAAUUUCAAUCUUAUACUCCGAUUGCUUUUAAAAUUGGUCCUAAUAAUAUGGACAAAUAUCAUUCUGAUCAGUAUGGAAUCCCAAUCCCAUACCUUUGGAUUUCAAUGGUGUUUAGUUGGAGGGAGGAGAGGGGAAGAAAAUGAAUUCAAAUUCCUUUCACUUUUCUGUUGUUUGGUUUUCACAAAUAUAUGGGAAUUCAAUUUUUAUUGAAAUUUAAUUUUCGUCAAAUUGUGCAUUUUGGAUUCCUCACCGAAGGCUGUAAAAUUCAAAUUCUCCUCCUAUUAGAAAUCAAAUCUUCCAAAAUUGCUCCUCUCAAAUAUUUAUCAAUUAUUUUAAUUCUUAUCAAAUAAUUCUUAUUUAUGAUUUUAUUUUUUCAAUUUAAAUUGUCACCAAGGAGUCUGACUUACUACCAUAGAAAAGCAAAAAAUACAAUUUAUAGAUUAUGAUAAUUCUAUGUAUUGUAUGAGAAUUGCAAUCCAAAAAUUUUCCCUAGAAAACGAAUUUUAAUCGACAGCAAAUCAAUGCUUUCAAAUUUAGUCAGCUGAACUAAUUUUUGUUUUUUUUUGGAUUAAUUUUGAAAUGUUGCAUCCAUAACGAGCUGCUAUUGAAAUUAAUGUUAACAACAAAAAUAGAUGCAAAAGGAGAAACAAGCAUCAUGUGCAGUACCCACUGUGAUCUACUCACAUUGGAAUAAGCCGUUGGCAGCUGGUCUGUUUGGCCAUUAAUAUCUAUUUAUAACUAGGUUUUUUUUUUUUUUUUUGAGAAGAUUUAUAACUGGAAAUUACUCACCGUAAAAUGAUGAAAUGCUUUGAAUAUACCUCCUAGGUCGUAUUUACUAUACUAGUUAGGAAAAAUUACAAUGUUAAAUUAUUUGAUAAAUACUUAUUAUAAUUUGAAAAAUAUGUUAAUUUUGUCCUCCACUGUAUGAUUAAUAAUUUAUAAUAUAUAUAUAUAUAUAUAAUUCAUUCUAUAAUCUUGAACUUUAUUAAAGAUAAAAAAACUAUUACUCUAUAUGAUAUAAUAGUGUGAUGUAAUUACACUACUAUACCAUAUAAAAUAUAUUUACUUUCUUAAAUUUUAAUAAAGUCCAGGUUUUAGGGAGAACCACUUUAUAUAUAUGUAUAUAUAACGAUUCUCUAGUAACGACAUUUUCAUUUUAACAAAAUAAUAAUAUCACUAACAAACUAAAUGACACACAUUUUAAUACAUCAAUAGAUAAAAAAAAUACAGUUUUAUUGUGUUAAAAUAUAUGUCUUUUGUAUAUUAUUGAUAUUUUCACUUUAACAAGUGAAGGUCUCCUCACUAUAGAAGUACUUUAUAAAUAUUUUUUGUAUUUUUAUGAAAAUUAUUAUUUAAAACUGUUUUGUGUAUCUUCGACACAAUAAGGCUUAGCAUUUAAAAGUCAGCAGCCACGCAACUUCUUGAAAUCUUCGUGCAAGUGUUGGAUAUCGACUGUUCGAUAAUGAUGGCAGCAUUGGACUGGACUGUAAUUGACACAAUAAAAUUAGGAUCACAAAUAAGGAUGAAACUAUGUUGCAACAAUUGUAGCAUGCCACUAGAUUUUAUCUUUUUUUUUAAUUAAUUACACUGCACUACCUUAUAUUUUAUGAAAAAAUUGAAUAGACAUUAAAAGUUACAAAAUUUUAUAUAUAAAUCCCUUUUUUUGGGAUAAAAUGGCUUUUCAAAAACAUUUGACUGUUAUUAUUAGUAUUAUUUAUUAAUAUCAUUAUUAUUAUAUUAAUAAGAAUAAUAAUAAUAAUAAUAUUAUCAAAAUUUAUUAUUUUAAUUAUUAUGAUUAUUUUUAAUUAAGUCAUUAUUAUUAUUUAUUAAUUUUAUUACUGUCAUUAAUAUUAAUUUUAUUACUAUUGUUAAAAUAUAUUAAUUUUAUUAUUUUAAUUAAUGUUAAUUAUUGUUAUUAUUAUUUUAUUAAUAUUAAUAUCAUUAAAAUUUAUUUGUUUUAUUAUUUUAAUUGUUAUGUUAUUAUUAAUGUCAUCAACAUCAUCAUCAUCAUCUUUAAACUUUAUAGAUUUUUUUGUUUAAAGUAAUACUAUUGUUAUUAUUAUUAUUUUACCUUAAUUGAACAUUAAAUAUAUUUUUAUUUUUAUUAUAAUAAAUAAAAAUAUAAAAUAAAUUAUACUAUCAUAUUAUUUUAUUAUAUCAUAUUAUAUUUAUAUAAAAUAAUUAAUAUAAAAAUAAUAAUUUAAUAUAAUUAAUAAUAAAUUUAAAUAAUGUUAGUAUAAUAUUAAUAUAAAAUUAAUGCAGUACAAUGUAAUACCAAUUACCAAAUGUUGUACAAAUAUUAUUAUAAUUUAUUACUAAUGUAAUAUAACAUAAUACAAUAUACCUUUAUUGAAUAAUGAAAUACAGUAUAGUAUAAUACAAUAUGUGAAAUGGACCCUUAAUUCUUUGAGUGAUGAUAGUUUAAAGGGAUGUAGAGAAAGUAAAAAUAAUCAUGGUAGAGUCUUUUGCAGUGGUUGAUUAGCCAUCAUCAAAAAAUUUAAGGUAACAUAAUAAAAAUUAAGCAAUCACCCUACAUUUAAAAGAGUAAUUAGAAACCAAUAAAUUUACUAUUCAAUUAUUUUUAAUCAAGAAUAAAUAAUAAAUUAUCAUUACAGCAAGAUUCACAAGCUCAAAUAUCUAUAAAAAAAAGUUAUAAUUCUCAAGAAACAUAAAACUCAAAUGCUUUUGAAGUAUUCUUAAAAAAAUUAAACUAACUUCCUUUUAUGCUAUUCUUUAUUUAUAUGACUUUGUUGGGCUACAUUUAAAAUUUUAAAAAAUUAAAAUGGUUUCCUUAAAUUUCAAGAGUAAUAUUAGUAUUUUAUAGGUAAAUUAACAUAUUUUAUAUACAAAUAAACUAACAUGUCAACUAAUAUUAAAAACAAAAAUGUAAUAAAAAAGUAAAGUUUUGUAAUAUUAAAAUAAUAAAAUUUUAGAACCUAAUACUUUUUACAGUUCCUUAUUUUGAAAUUUCACCUUUUUUAUUUUAUAAUUUUUUGAAGUAUUACAAGGUUAAUAACCUAUAUUCUUUACACAUAUUUAGUUUAUUUAUUCUAUAUUAAAUAUAAUGGGUCCGCCUACCUUGCAACAGUUGCACGGUACCCCAAAUUUUAUAUUUUUCUAAUUCAGCUGAUGAAUCUAAUAUCUAAAGUGUUCAACGGUCAAGGCCGGCUCAACCAUAUUUGGGGCCCUAGGCAAAUGAUUUUAAUUAAUUCUUAUAAAAAAUUAGGGUAAUCUAUGAAAUUUUAAUUCAAUUAUAACAUUUUUACUUAUUGUUCUUUAACUCAAAUUACAUCUUUUUUACUACUCCUUUUCUAGAUUAAACUAAUUUUUCUAUUUUAUAAAGUUUUUCGAUAUAGUUUUAUUUCAAAAUAGAUAAAACAAGCAUACAAAAAAAAAGAGUAGAUGAAUAAAAGAAUAUAUUGAAAAAAAUAAGAAUAAAUAAAUAAAUAACACAACUAAUUAAGAGAAUAAUAAAAAGAUAAAAUCUGGAAUUUGAGAUGAAAUCAUGAAUUAACUUUAUCUUUAUAUUAAUUGUUUGUGGAUUUGAGUAAUGACCAAUAGCCAUAGAGAAUAGAGAAAAUUAUUAGAUUUUUUUCUUCUUCUUGAGUGGAAAGUAGAGGAAGCAUGAUUUUUUCCCUCUCUCUCUUUCUUUCUCUCAAACACUAACAACAUAUCGUGUCUUGAUUAUUGGAGGAAAAAUUUAAUAGAUAAGUAAUAAAAUAUGGGGUUUUUAUAGAGGUUUAAAAUGAAUAUAAUACUUUUUAAUUAUAACAUAUUAAUUCUAACAAUUAAAUAGAGAAUUUGUAGGAUUGAAACUAUUAAUUUAUUGGUUUUGUAGGAAUUAAAACUACUAAGUACUACAUUAAAUAAACUUUAUAGAAAUUUGAUAGUUUAUUUAGGAAAAAGAUAAUUACAAAAUAAUAACAAAUUAAAUGCAUAAUAAUGACUUUUAAAUUCACUUUUCCCUUUUAUAUACAAAAUAAUCAUCUUACGGGGCCUUAAUGUAAAGUGGGGCUCCAGACAACCGCUUAAGUUGCCUAGAGGUCGAGCUGCUACUGUCAACGGUUGAGAUGUGUUCAAUUGGUUAUUAACACUUAAGUCUCUACUGUUUAUUAUAAUAUCAUAAAAACAAAAUUUUUAAAAUAUUUAUUUAUAUAACUCCUAUUGUUUUAAGUUUUUUAAAGUUUGAUCCAUUAGCCAAGCUUGAUCAUAAAAAUGAUUGAUGGUGUAAAGAUAAUAAUGUAAUAUCACAUAAAAUUUUUUUUAAACACAUGAAAAAUUGAUAAAUGUAAAUAUUGUUUUUUUUGGUUAUAUAAUAUAUUAACUUUAUUAUUUUAAUUAAUGUUAAUUAUUGUUUUUAUUAUUUUAUUAAUAAUAAUAACAACUAAUUUGUAUUUUACUUUUAAGGUUGAUUUGAUAAAUUUAAAUUUUUCUUUACAUUAACAUAUCUAAGAAUAUUGUUGCAAGCAUGUUAUUAUAAAAUCAAAGAAAAAUUAAGGGUAGGAUUAUAUUGUGCUUACCGACAAAGGUGUCUUGAGGGACUAAACGGUACUUCAUUCAAAAUAUAGAGACUGAACAAAUAUUUAUCAUUAUUUAAGCUGAAAUAGUGCAUUUUAACUAGUCCCGGGUUUGAUUCAUUGUAAAUAUCAUUUUCCUUCAUGAAAUACCUAUAGAGAAUCAUAAAUUUUGGAGAAAAGGACGUUACACCUAAGUUUUGGGAAAUAGUCAUGUAGACCCCUAAAUUUUUAAUAAGGAAUACGAAUACCUCUUUUGACUAUAAUACAUUUUGACUCUAUUAACUCAAAAAAUUGACUCCUAUGUUUUAUAAUAAAUAGAAAUAUAAUAUUGAAAUAAACAUAAAAUAUUAACAUUUUAAAACAACUUCAAUUUAGGAAAAUAUUUAUAUACUUAAGAAUCUUAUAUUAUAUUAGACUAAAUUUUAUAAUAAAUAAGAACAUAAUAUUAAAAUAAAUUUUAUAAAUUUUUUCAAUAUUAUAUAAAAUAAUUUCAAUAUUAUUACUACAUGAGAUAUAUUUUAUUAAUGAGAUGUGUUUUAUUAAUUUUAAAUUCUAUUUAACCCCAAUGAUUUAUUUGAUAUUUUUAUGAUAAAUAAAAUAUAUUAUUAAAAUAAAUAUAAUGUUUUUAUUUAAAAAAUAUUUUAUAUAUUAAAAAUAUUCUAAUAUUAUUAGUCUAUUAGACAGAUUAAACUAUUUAAGUUAUAUUUAUAUUUAUUAAAAAAUUCUUAAAGUCAUUUUUUUAUUUACUAUGUACAAAAAGUAUUAUAGUCAAAAAGAUAUUUUGGUUACUGAAAAUUGAAAGAUUUACGUGACCAUUUCUUUAAAUCUUGGAGUAUAGGUGUCUUUUCCUAUAGAUAUUAGAAUAAGGGCUACAUGUCUAUAUGUAAAUAGCAAGUAGUGGCGGACCUACAGUUGGACUAGACUGGGUUGUAGCUUGGUCUAGUACAGAAAAAAUCAUUUAUACACCUUGUUUUCUUAUAAUUUUUUUAUAAAAAAGAGUUUUUAUUUUGUUUUCAUAUAUGUCCCUAACUCAAGUAUCCUUAUGUUUUCAUCAAUUUAGUUUAACAAUAGAGUUUUUACUUUAUAUUCAAAUAUUUUCCUAACUCAAUUACCCUUAUAUUUUCAUCAAUUUAGUAUAACAAUUGAGCUAUUAUUUUAUAUUCAAAUAUAUCCCUAAUUCAAUUGUAUUGUUUCCAAUUGAAAUUAGUGACUUAUUUUAUAAAUUGAUUAAAUUAUAUACUCAUUGGAUAGAUUGAAAACAUUAGGGAGCUAAAGUAUUAUUAUCAAUUUAAUUUAUUUUAAAAAAUUUCUAAUUGAAAAAAAUAUAAAUCAAUGUAAUAUAACAUCGUCACUAGCAUUAAAAAUACUUACGAAAACAAUAUAUAGUAACAAUUAUCAACAUUUUCAUAAACAUUUUAUGUGAUUUUUUAGAUUCUAUUUAUUAGUUACAUUAACUACGACAAGAAGUUAGAAUAUAAAAUUUAGGUAUUUUGAGGAGCUUUAAUAGAAGAAUCAUCAACAUCUACUUCUAUAAAGAAAGUCAGUGCACUGGCAAUGAAACAACGAUAUCCAAAUAACUUUUUGUUGAAUUGAGUUUAGUUUAUUACUAAAACUUUUGACUAAUAAUACUUUUAUAAUUCGAAAGAAUGAAUGAAUUUUAAUUUUUAAAUUUAUUUAAACUUGGUAAUUUAAUACUUGACUUCAAACAUAAAAGUUUUACUUGUAAUCUUUAAUUAAUUUUAAUUACAUGUACUGAUCUAAUUUAGUUUGAAAUUCUUAAUUGAUUUAUUAAUCCUUAUAUAAUUACAUGUUAUUAUAGUUGCAAUGUCGGAUUCCAUAAUUGAAAAAUAGUGUUUUGAUAUUUGAAUUGCCUUUUGGUUUCUAUUCUUUUCUUAUAAUUAUUUUUGUUUAUAAUACAUAUUCAUAGGGAUAUAGCUCUCCAUGUCUCCCCUCAUUUAAUAUACUUCUUUUUACUUAUAAAUUUUUAUGUUCACUUCAAAAUAUAAAUUUUAAAAUUUAACCCAAAAUAAUAUUAAGUCCUGAAUCCGCACAUAUAGCAAGUUAAGUCACAUCCUUUUAUCUUUUUAUUUUCAUUUUAUAAAUAAAUAAAUAAAUAAUGCAUAUUGAAUUAGGAUCACGCGUCUGAAAUCUUUACGUGAAGAUUUUGUUAAACACCGUGUAAAAAAAUAAUAUGAAUAGUGAAAGCUUAAUAGUAAAAAAAUAAUAUGAAUAGUGCAUUGCGAUCUAUCAAUCGCAAUGCACCGAUGAUUGCAACAAUUAAAAAUCUUGAAAUAUGAUUAUUAUACAAAACGAAAAUGUACAACCACUCAUGAAUUAGAGUUAUUUUUUUUUAGAGAAGAUAAUUCGGGUUUUUAAGAUAGGUUCUUUUUUUAAAAAAAUUAUUAUCCUGAGGAUAUUUGAAUAAUAAUUUUUUAAAUUAAAAAAAUAAAUUUUAAAUAUAUUUUUGUGAGUUUAAAUAACCUCAUUCCCAGCAUAACUACAUGAGCUACGUAGUGCUUAUUUAUUGACAUUAAUAAACUGCAUCAAUUUAUACAAAAUACUGUUUUUCUUCUUCGUUUUUCUUUUUGACAUGUUGUGCUAAUGCUGUUUGUUGGCCUAGAUGGCGAAUAAAAAAUAUGAUAAUAUAUGCUAUCUACAAGCUUAAUUAUGAACGAACAGUUAAUAAUUACCCCAAAGUUCAUAUUUUAUAAUAGGUGUAGAAUCUUUUCACUCUAAUAAGUUUAUCUUCAAUUAUUUAUCACUAGUUUAGUUAAAUAAUGCACGUCAAUGUUGAAUUGACAUCCGCGAAUAUCACCUUUGCACUUUUAAAUCAAAUAAUCAAUGGCCAUCAAAUGAAGCGAAAUAAAUGGUUAAACUAAUUUAUGUUAAAACAAAUUAUUGUUGAAUAGAGUAGUGAUAGAUGAUAUCCCAAAUUUUUGGGUUCCUAAGGAAUAAUCAUUGUCAAAUUAUUAAACCGAACCUUACAUUCAGGAAUGAUAAAGAUUGAAGACCAAUAUCUGCAACAUUAACUCUUGUCAUACAUAAGCAAGAACAAAAAAAAUAAAAAAUCAUUGAAUUAUAUUAAUACAUGAAACAGAAAGGCCAAAAAUUAAACCCAAAUGAAUAUACAGUGAAAGGAAAUCGCAGUUGUAAUGUAACGCAUAUUCACAAAAGCUUUGUUGAUGAAGUCUAGUACUCUAAUGAUACUUUAUAAUGUGGGGGCAGAGCAGUAAAUUUCAAAGAAAUAAUUUUCUCUUUUGAUGUUUUGUCGUUAUUGUUGACUGAGACGAGAAAGAAAUAAUUGCUCGUUUGGAUAUUCUCUAUAUUGUAAAAGAAUUGCUUAUUAGAAUUGCUUAUUAGAAUUGCUUCAAAGCAGUUUUACCAGUUAUAAUUCAUCAGCUCCUACUCUUUGCGUUCAAUUCUCAAUCAAGAAACCCUCUCCUGACUUUCAGCUUUUAACCUCGAACACGCUCUGAUUCUGUUUAUUGUACCCACUGCUAUUGCUAGCUGUUCCCUUAUUUUGCUUUGCUCCCUUCUGCCAUCAGCUCUCUGUAUACUCAUUGGAUCAAGAAGCCCUUUUCAAUUUUCUGAUCUCAACAACACUUUGAUUCUCAUCUAUUACACUGAUUUUUUUUCCUUGUUUUGCUCAAAUACAAUUUCUCUCCCUAAUUUUGUCCCGUUCCCUUUCGCCGCCAUCUGUUUGUUCUUCGCUUCUUCAUUGAUUAACAAUUGUCCAGUCGUUUCACCUGUUCUUUUUCUGUUCCUUUCACUUCAGAUCAAUCCAUCCUCGCACAACCCCCCCCCCCCCCCCCAAAAAAAAAAAAGAAAAAAGAAAAAAGAUUGAAGGUGAUGGAAUGCAUUGUUACUGUCGUUUUAGAGGUUGUAAAAUGCUUGGCUCCUCCAACACAACAACAACUUCGUUAUUUGCGUAGUUCCAAUGCCAACUUUGAGAAUCUCAAGGCUGAAAUCGAGAAUCUUAAGGAUAAAAUUAGGAGCAUUCAGCGCAGAGUCUCAGAGGCUGAAAGAAAAGGAGAAAAGAUUGAAGAGGAGCUUGAGAAAUGGCUGGUUAAUGCGAAUAAGAUCAUUGAGCAUGCAGACAAAUUCAUUGACGACGAGGAGGCAACAAAUAAGCGAUGUCUCAAGGGUCUGUGUCCUAAUCUGAAGACCCGCCAUCAGCUUAGCAAGAAAGCAGAGGCAGAGGUGAAGGCAAUUGUCAAAAUCCGAGAAGAAGCUGGGAGAUUUGACGAUAGAAUUUCCUACCGUACGAUUCCGGAGGAGAUAUGGCUCAAGUCUCACAAAGGCUACGAGGCCUUCGAGUCAAGACUUUCUACCUUGAAGGCCAUACAAAAUGCAUUGAUCGAUGUUAAUGUUAGUGUCGUUGGGGUGUACGGCAUGGGCGGCAUUGGAAAGACGACACUGGUGAAGAAGGUCGCCAGGCAAGCUAUGGAAGAUAAACUCUUUGAUAUGGUGGUCUUUUCAGAGGUUUCGCAAACUCCAGACAUAAAAAAGAUUCAACAGGAAAUUGCCGAGAAGUUGGGCCUGGAGUUGCACGAGGAAGUUGAAUCUGGAAGAGCAAGUAGACUAUUUGAGCUAUUGAGAAAUCACAAGAAGAUCCUUGUCGUUUUAGAUAACAUUUGGAAACACCUUGAUUUGGAGACAGUUGGAAUUCCUUUUGGAGAAGAUCAUAAAGGCUGCAAACUACUGCUGACGGCAAGAGAUCGUAGUGUCCUCUUAAAAAUGGGUUCUAAAGACAACUUUUUGAUAAACAAUUUAAAUGAAGAAGAAGCCUGGAGAUUGUUUAAGAUGAUGGCCGGUGAUGAUGUUGAAAAUCGUGAGUUGAAAUCUACAGCAAUAGACGUCGCCAGGGCAUGUGGAGGUUUGCCCAUUGCCUUGACUACAGUAGCAAAGGCACUGAGAGGCAAGAGUCUGUAUGAAUGGAAGAAUUCCUUGCGAGAACUCCAAACGCCUUCAAUGGUAAACUUCGAAGGGGUAUCUGCAGAGACUUAUUCAAGUAUUGAGCUCAGUUUCAACCAUUUAAAAGGUGAGCAGCUCAAGAAAAUUUUUCUGCUCUGUAGUCUAAUGGAGAGCCAUAUUACUUUGGACUUGUUUAAGUACUCCAUGGGUUUGGGUAUAUUUAAAGGAGUCAAUAAGAUGGAAGAUGCACGAGACAAAUUAUAUGCAUUGGUCCAUGAACUUAGAGACUCUUGUUUGUUGCUUGAGGAUGAUAGCAAUGAACGAUUUUCAAUGCAUGAUGUUGUUUGUGAUGUCGCAAUAUCAAUUGCAUGCCGCCACCAACAUGUGUUUUUGGUGAGAAAUGAUGAGGAUGUGUGGGACUGGCCAGAUGAGGAUGCACUUCGAAAAUGCAAUGCUAUCUCUUUAAUAAAAAAUAGUAAUUGUGAAUUUCCUGAAGGAUUAGAAUGCCCAAACCUUGAACUUUUAUAUAUUUCUCUCAAAGAUUCUUCUCUUGAAAUCAAUAUUCCUGAGAACUUUUUUGUAGGGAUGAAAAAGCUUAGAGUUCUAGAUUUUACUCGAAAGCUGUUUUCUUCAUUUCCAUCUUCAAUUGAUCUUCUAGUAAAUCUUCACACACUAUGUCUGGAUCAAAGUGCGUUGGGGGACAUAGCAAUCAUUGGGAAGUUGAAGAAUCUAGAAGUCCUUAGCUUUUUGAUGUCUGAUAUUAUGCAGUUGCCAGAAGAACUAGGUCAAUUGAAUAAGUUGAGAUUGUUAGAUUUAACCAAUUGUUUCCAUCUAAAAGUUAUUGCGCCCAAUCUCAUAUCAAGCUUAACUCGAUUAGAAGAUCUGUAUAUGGGUAAUUGCUCCAUUGAAUGGGAGGUUGAAAGAGCCAACAGCAAAAGAAGUAAUGCUAGCCUUGACGAAUUGAUGCAUUUACCUCGGCUAACCACUCUAGAAAUUGACGUUAAAAAUGACAGUAUGUUACCAGAAGGUUUUUUGGCCAGAAAGCUCGAAAGGUUCAAAAUAUCUAUUGGAAAUGAGUCAUUCAUGCCUCCCAAGAGUGUUAGACAAGCUUGGUUUAAAAGUCGGCCGCGCUUUUCGAUCCACAGUUAUCGCAAGAGUGUAAGAGCAUUGAAGCUCAAGCUUGAUUUUAUGGACAUUUGCUCCAUGAAAUUGCAGGGCAUCAAUAACGUUGAAUACUUAUGGUUGGACAAGCUGCAAGGCACUGAGAAUGUUCUUUUCAAUUUGGACACGGAGAGCUUUUCACAAUUGAAGCUUCUCUGGGUUCAAAAUAAUCCUGACUUCUUUUGCAUCGCCGAUUCAAGGGCGAUGGUCGCUUGUGAUGCCUAUAGCUUAUUUUUAACUUUGAAAAAUAUGACAAAGCAUCGAUAAAUUAAUACUCAAUAAAUUAAAAACUUUUAUUAUACAAUAAUCUUUGCUAGUCUAGACUAAGGGAUCAAUGUGGUAGAUUAAUAAUUAUAUGAACUGUUUUAGGUAUAGCAUUUCUAAAAGAAUCCUUAGUCUUUCCAUAUAAAAGAACUUACAAAAUAAAUUAGUAAUUUAUUAUUGUGCAAUAAAAUAAUUUCGUUUUUUUCCCUAAUUUCUUUUUUACCUCUAAAAUUAGCAUAUAAAAAAUCAUUUAAUAAAUUUUAUCAAUAAUUCAAUUUUUUUUUUAAAAUAUAAUAUAAAAUAAAUACUAUAAAAUCACUGUGUGUGACCAUAGAUCAUCAAUUGACCUUAUUAGUUAUUUUGAUUGAUGAUGAUAUCUUACCCAACUUGACGGCACUAUCACUAAGUGGAAAAGAUGUGAAGAUGAUUUUGCAGGCCGAUUUCCCACAACACCUUUUUGGCAGUCUUAAACAACUAGAGAUUGUUGGAGAUGACUCAGCUUGUUUUCCAAUCUGGAACGUACUGGAGAGAUUUCACAAUCUCGAAAUACUCAUACCGUUUUUGCAUUCCACGAAGAGGUAUUUUGGAUGGAAGGAUGCUUAGAGAAACAUGUGGGGAAGUUGGCAAUGAUAAAAGAAUUAAAGCUGCACCGGCACUAUCAUCUGAUGCAGCUGUGCAAACAAGACUCCAAACUUGGCCCCAUUUUUCAGUAUCUUGAAAUUCUAAAAGUAUAUAAUUGUCAAAGUCUGUUAAUUCUAUUGCCAUCAUCAUCGGUAUCUUUUGGGAACCUAACAAAACUUGUAGCUUUCGAUUGCAAGAAAUUGAUACACUUAGUAACAUCCUCCACAGCAAAAACUCUGGUGCGACUCGUAACAGUUCAAGUAUAUGGAUGCAGAGCAAUGACAGAGGUGGUAAUAAAUGACAAAGACGGGGUUGAAAAAGAAGAGAUUGUUUUCCGCAAAUUGAAGACGUUGGAUCUGCGUGAUUUAGAUAGCCUCACAAGUUUCUGCUCUGCCAAUUACACCUUCAAAUUCCCAUCUUUGCAAGAUUUGUGGGUGAUUGGUUGUCCCAAGAUGAAGAUUUUCACUACAGGAGAAUCAAUCACGCCUCCAAGAGUAAAUGUCCGGUAUGGAGAGACAGCGGAUCAACGGCGCUGGGCUAAUAAUGAUCUAAACUCAACCAUACAACAAUUACAUGCUGAGAAGGUACGUAUAUACAUGUAUAUACAUCUUUACAAAAUUUGCUUUCUUAAAUACAAUAUAGAUAAGAUAUUUGAUGAAUAAGAAUUUUACUUUCAGCUGUUGGCGGUGCAGUCGGCGAUCUCUACCCAGUACUAAUUUCAUAGGCUUCUUAUGACUUGGGAGUUGUGAAUUUUUAGAAGAAAGCCUCAGCUGGUAAUUAAUUUUUAUUUCAUUUAUUUGAUCUCAUGGCUUGUUUCGCAAUUUCAUCUGAAUUAUUUAGAAUGGGUCAAUCGGCUUACUGUUAAAUUUGGAAUGCAAUUUUAAUGAUUCGUUCAGACUUUUGUGGACAGAUUUUGCAUCAUUGAAUGUCUUCUAGUCUAGUUUAAUUUGAGUAUUUUUUUUCUUUUUUUCUUUUUUUGAGAGUUCCCCUUGUUUUCUAAAAUUUUAUAAUUCCUUGCAUACUUUGUAUGAUAAAAUUUCAUUAAAAGCCUUCAUAUUUUAUAAUUCCUUGAAAACAUCAUUGCUGUUCUGUUAUUUUAGUUUGUUCAUUUAGUUUGGUUUGCUUCACACCUAUCUUUGUUUGGAAACUUUUUUUUAUUUUUUUGAUGAUCUUUCCAAAUGCUCUCCCCUAUGAACACAUAAUUAAGACCAGCUGAAAAUCAUUCAUCGGAUAAAAAAUAAAAAAUAAACAAAAUCUAAUCAGAGCAUUAUGCCUAGAACAAAUCCUUAGACCAUCAAAGCAAAACUCUUCGCUAUGAAAAACUAUAUUGUGGAAAUAUUGUUUGAAAACGUUGGAUACCAAGAAAGGGACUAAUCUGGUCUAGUUUUAUGAGAAGUGCAGAAGAACAGUAUUUUCUCUGUUGUUCCUAUUAAAAUUCUUUACUAUGUGAUUGUAGAAUGUCUGGAUACUGAUGAAGAUUCAGGUAACUCUUCUCCUGUGCAUCAUUUGAAAUAAGUUUUUUUUUUUUUUUUGGUAAUAUCUCCUACUGGGUUAUAGUUCAUACAAAGAGAAAUUCUUAAAUCAAGCCGGAUACUGGUAGAAACAAGUGGGGAAGUAGGCACUGAUAAAAUGGUUAAUCCUGUCCAGACUUAAUCAUUGAAGCAACUCCAAACUGGACUCCAUUUUAAAUAUCUUGACAUUCUAAGACUAUUUUACAAGCAUUUAAGUCUAUUCACAUGAUCAUCUAUAUCUUUUGGGAAUCUAAAAGAACUGUUGGUUUUCCAUUGCAAGGAAUUGUAACAUCCGUCCACUACAGCAGAAAGUCUAGUGCGACUCGUAUCAAUGAAGGUAGCUGGAUGCAGGGCAAUGACAGAGGUGGUAAUAGGUGACGGAGAAGAAGACGGAGCACCAAAUUUAAAUUCAAAACAAGAGAUUGUUUUCAGCAAAUUGAAGACAUCGAGUCUGUGUGAUUUAGAUAGUCUCACAAGUUUCUGCUCUGCCAAUUACGCUUUCAGAUAAAGAUUCUUGAAAUUGUCCUAUUUACAGCUGACAUUUCCACAAGAGUUAGAGAAAUAUAAAAAAUUCAUUAAUCGUUAGUUUUUAAUUUCAUUAUUCAAUGAAAAGUCCUGUCAAAUUAAAUUGCAAAUCUCAAUGUGCAAGUACCUAAAUUUACAAAAUUUACUUUAAAUUAAUGAAUGAAAGAAUUUAUUUUCUGCUGUUGGAGGAGUCGUCAUCUCUCUCGACAUAGUAUACGAUAUGUUUUGAUCCCAUAGGCUUUUUAAUAUAUUACCUUGUGUUGUUUGAUCUCUAGGUUUAUUUGCAAUGCGUCAGUUGGUUUAUUUGUUAAUUUUGGAAUGAAGUUGAUGCAGCUGAUGGUUGCAUAGGAUGAGUAGGAUAUCACUCCUAGAUCAUAACUUGAUCUAACAAUAUUGUGUAGGUCUUUUGUGACUCCAACAAUAAAAAAACUCAAUAUUUUUUUUAUAGAGCAAUAUUUGUUAAAGCAUGAAGAAAGGCAGAAAUAUUGUAAAUCCAUCUCAACUUUUCUGUUUAUUGUGGUCGCUGCUAGCGCUGGCUGUUUUCUUAUUUAACUUUGUUCCCUUUUGCCAUCAGCUCUUUGCAUUUUCAUUGGAUCAAGCGACCCUUUUCUUGCUUCAAUUUCUGAUCUCAAAAGCACUUUGAUUCUCUUCUAUAAUUCUGUUACACUGAUUUUCUCCUUAUUUUGUACAAAUAUCAUUUCUCUUUCCCAUUUAGCCUUGAUUUGCUUCAACUUGACUAUCAAUUGCCAAGUUGACCCUGUUGUAUUUUUAUUUUGUUCACUUCAAAUAGACCCAAAAAAAAAAAGAGAUGUUGAAUAAAGCCUAAAAUCUAAUUUGAUUUUUAAUCUGAUUUAGCUAAGAUGUCCAAUUUAAUAUUAAUAGCAAUGUUAAGGAUUCUAAUAAUUGGGUCCCAACUGAUAUGAUAGUCAUUUAUUAGAUGAUCGAAAUAUUAAUUUUACUAAUUAUGAAAUUCAUUAUCUAAUAAAAAAUGACACAUAACAAUUGGGUCUCAAGUUAGAAUUCAAAUAUUGGAAUUCUUAACAUUAUUUUAAUAUUAAAAAAUUCAUCAAAAUAAUAUAUAUUAUCUAAAAAAAAUAAAAAAUCUAAAACCAUAGAUUUACCCUUCAAUCUUCGUGAUUUGGCUGAUUUCUUUUAAAGCUUUGGUUUCUUUGGAAGUGCAACGAGAAAUAGUAAUAAGAUUAAAAAAGCAAUGAAGUAAAACUUUAAAAUUUUUAUUUUUUUAUAUUUUUAUGGGUCAUUUUACCGGCACUGGCGUUUGAUUUUCUGACUAAGCUACUGUUUAGUUCUAAGUUUUCAAUUACCCGGACUGCUCUGUUUUGUGUAUCAUCGACACAAUAAGGCUUAGCAUUUAAAAGUCGGCAGCCACGCAACUUCUUGGAAUCUUUGUGCAAGUGUUGGAUAUCGACUGUUCGAUAAUGAUGGCAGCAUUUGACUGGAGUGUAAUUGACGCAGUGGAAUAAGGAUCACAUGUCUCAAACUUUUGGUGAAGAUAUUGUCAGAUAUUUUAUUGAUUAAAGGAUCACAAAUAAUGGAUAUUGGAUGAGAAUCACAUGUUUUAUGGGAUUUACUAUGUUGCAACAGUGAUACCAUACCACUGUUUUUGUCAUUAUUCAUUGCGGCCGUUGGAUGGUAACUUAUUUAAUCUAAUGGUUUAAAUUAGUUAAUGGAGAAAUGACGCGGCAACUUACAACCCUUGCAGCCGGUUCUGUAUUGAUCUAAUAGCAUGGAGUAGUAAGCGUGCGUUUCAAAGAUGCUAAGAUACACUAAAUCCCACUAUUUCCAUACUCAUAAUCACAAGCUUACCUCAAAAAAUGAAGGGAGAAUACGAUGAAGAAGAAGAUGGCCAGUGUUUUACGCCGUUCGCCGGCAACCAGUUAGGUUUACGAUGGUGGCUAGUAACACGGAGUCCAGCGAAUAGUAGCAUACCGAACGGCUCUUUACCGUCACGUGGUUAGUAACAUAUGUGACCGCAGUGUGGCCGUCACAUAAAAGGUAUUGGGGUUACAAAGUUAGUGAUAUACGUAAUGGCUGCUUUUGCAUUCACAUUAGGGGUCACAUAUACCCUAUUUUUCUUGUAGUACAUGGUAAAUUCUAUUUGAAAAUUGCUAAGUAUUUUAGAUUUGUACAAAUUCAUUUUUGUGUGCUGGUGCCUGGUUGGAUAAUAAUAUAUAAUAAAUUAAAUUUUUGGUGUAAUUUUCACAAUAUUGUAUUAUAAAUAUGUAUCGUUGAGAGGUUUUGAAAUCGUUUUGAUUGAUCAUAAUUGAUAUUUCCACAGUUGUAAAAGAUGCCAGAGAAAAUUUGAUUAUCUUAAGAAAUGAGUGCAUGAGAUAUGAAAUCAACCAUACCGUAAAAUCAAAUUUUAUCGUGUCAUCCUUCUUGGUUCAAAUUUAUGGAAACAAUAAUCAAAUGCAUCCAUGAACUAGUAUAUUCCAACAUAUGUACCAUCAAAUUUUUGCUAUGUCAUACUUAUGUAUGUGUGUGUGUGUGUGUGUUUGUGUAUAUUGAAAUUUUAAUAACAACAAUUGGGGCAAGCAUAUGUUGGUACUUGAAGAUUUAUAAGCUCCAUUCUUGAAAAAAUAAGGCUUGACUGUUCUCGAUCUAAUUCUUUUUGUUUUAAGUUCUUAAUUAAGCUUUCUUGCUUGUUUUCAAGAGCCAGUUUUGUAAUGAUCGACAAACAUGAUUUGCAUAUAUUGCACUUGGCAUUUAUGUGUCACUUAUUAACUAGAUUUAAAUUUUAUAAAUUAAUUAAGCUGAUUAAUACUUUAUAUGUGCACUAAAUGAUAAAUACUACAUAAAUUGGGACACUAGUAACUACGUAUCCCAACUAUGUAAUAUUUGUUUGUCACAAAACCAAUCAUGGCCUGAUAUUCUAAAUAUUAUUUAGGAUACCAUUUCAAGUCCCAUGAGGGCUCUUUCCGUUAAAAAAAAAAAGUAUGAAAUAGAUGUAGAUUUUUCUUUAGAUAUUAUUACCUUUGGUGGCAAUGGUACGGGAUGAUUUGGGAUUUGACAAUUCCACUCUCAUCUUAAUUAUCAAAUGGAAUGUAAGUAUGGAUAAACUCGUCCUGUUUAUAUACUUGUGAUUAAAAUUAGGACCAAUCUCAAACCGCUCACAAUCAUGUCCCAUCCUAACUAUCCUGAAUGUCUCGAAUGCCUCCCUUUAUUAUCAUUUUAAUUCUCAUUAACAUAUUAGCAAAAUUUCCAUAUAUUAAAAAUAUUAGGGUCUGACUAUCUAUACUUUAAAAAUUACUAUGAACACUCAAUUAUUUUAUACACUCAUCUAAUAAAUUUAAAAAAUUAAGUUUCAUUUUGUACAUUUUUAAAAGUAACAAAAACAUUUUUACAUGAACCUAAUAAGUUUCUUUAAAAAAAAUUAAAUCAAUUAUUUUUAUUUAUUCAAAAUACUAAUAAAACUAUUCAGCAGACCGUGAAAGAAAAUUUUUAAGAAAUUUAGCACAUAAAACGUUGAAAGUUUCAACUAAAUUCUUUAACACAAUUUUAGAAAUUACUUAUUGUUUAUUAAAGAAUGUGUUCACUAAUGUUUUUAAUUUUGUGCAAUCAAAAAAGAAGAAGAAGAAGUUUGGGGUUAAAGAUACAUUUAAUUUUUAGUGUAAAAGUUGUAUCAAUCCUAUAAAAACUAAAAGAUCCAAAAGUUACAAGUUCCAACAUCACCCAAAUAUUACGAUUGUUUUUGGGAAGGUUAAAAGUGAUUUUAAAAAUUAAAAGCUUAUUUUAGUGUUUUAUAAAUUUUUUUUUAGUAAUUACUUUUGGCAAAAUCAUCUCAUCAUACAGUAGAUUUUGAAAAUUAAGAAAGGGAAUAGUUUUUCAAAAUCUAAUUUUGAGAAUCACUUUUAUACUUAAUCCAAUUCUCUCUCUCUCUCUCUCUCUCUCUCUAUAUAUAUAUAUAUAUAUAUAUAUAUAUAUCCUCAUUAUAUAAUAAAAAUCCAAAAUUACCUUUAUUAAUUAAGAAAUAAAAUCAUUAACUUUAAAGAAAUUAUUAUUACCACCAAUUAUAUUGAGAUAACAAAAUAAAUAAUACAAUUUAAUAAUAUACAAUAUUUAUUUUAGUUAUCAAUAAUUAUAUCUACAUAACAAAAAUAUUUUAUAUACAUGUUUGUAAAUGUGUAAAUAAAUUUUAUUUAGCUUUAUAUCCAAUUUAAUCAUUUACAUUCUUGCACCAGUUUAAUAAUAAGAUUUAUGAAACACAUAUGACUGCUUUUUAAACUAAAAGUACUUUUAAAAAUAAAUUUUACUAAAGGUUCACCUAAUUCUCUUCACGAUUGAUCAAUUUCUACAGCAUAGAUAACUGUAAUUAUUUUAAAAGCCAUAGAUUACCAAUAAAAAUGUCUAAAAGUAACAAUAAUAAACCAAAGUAAACGUACAAAAAUUCAUGCAUAAAUUGAUAAUCAACAAAAACAUCCAAAAGUUUUACUCUAAGUUUUCUAUUCAAUUGACAUAACCCUUAAAUUUCAAAAGGCAUAAUCAAUUUUGUGACUAAUCCUAUAAAAUUAGAAAAUUAAAGAAUAUUAUAUACUGAUAAUUAAAUAAUAUACAAUUAAUAAUGUAAAAAAAAAAUCAUGUUAAACAUAUUGUGAACUAAAAUAAUUGGGAGAAUUGGAGUUCCAAGAUAAAUUCCAAUCUAGUCCCAAAUCAACAAUUGGGAUUAAUUUCAAUCUUAAACUCCGAUUACUUUUAAAAUUGGUCCUAAUAAUAUGGACAAAUCCCAUUCUGAUCAGUAUGGAAUCUCAAUCCCAUAACUUUGGGUUUCGAUGGUGUUUAGUUGGAGGGAGGAGAGAGGAAGGAAAUGAAUUCAAAUUCCUUUCACUUUUCUGUUGUUUGGUUUUCACAAAUAUAUGGGAAUUCAAUUUCUAUUGAAAUUUAGUUUUCAUCAAAUUGUGCAUUUUGGAUUCCUCACCGAAGGCUGUAAAAUUCAAAUUCUCCUCCUAUUAGAAAUCAAAUCUUCCAAAAUUGUUCCUCUCAAAUAUUUAUCAAUUAUUUUUAUUCUUAUCAAACAAUUCUUAUUUAUGAUUUUAUUUUUUCAAUUUAAAUCGUCACUAAGGCGUCUAACUAAGGGCCAGUUUGGGAAUACUAUAACUUUUAAAAUAAUUAUUGUUAGUUGUGCUUUAGAAAUAAUCAGCUGUGAAGAAAAUUAAUUAAGUGUUUGGUAAAUUUUGUUUUAAAAAUACUGUGAGUUUUAAAAGCAGUUAUGGACAUUUAGUAAAUUUUACUAUUAAAUUGCUGAGAGAAAACAUAUGACUAAAAUGUAUAUAAUGUAGAUAAGAUUUACUUAUACAUAUAAAAACAUGUACAUAUAAUAUUUUUAAUUGUGUAUUAUAAUAAUUUUUAUUACAAAUAAAAUUUAUAAUAUAUUGAUUUUUUUAUUUUUUUAUCUUGAAACAAUUGAUAAUUAAAUUUGUAAUAUAGUGAAACAAAUUUAAUAAUAAUUCGACCAAUAAACUGAUAUUAAUAUAUUUAUAUAACCAAAUUAACGGGUGAAUUCUAUAAUCGAUUUCUUUUAUUAACAUCUCAUAACUAUGAGAAGUUUUAUAUUUUGAUAAAUGAUCAUACUCAAUUAUGUGCCUUAUUGGAUGAAAGACGGAGAAGGAAUGCCUUACCGGAUUCAAUUCAAUAUACACUUUUUGUUCCCAGGUCUAGCCUUUCGCGGGUACCUCAACAAAAAACUGAAGAGUAAUGGCAACAAGUGAUUGAGUUAAGUAGUUCCUCAUGUAAAAUUAUUGACUCUAGAGAUAUAGUAAUAUGGAGAAGACUAAACUAUUUCGUAUUGAUGAAUUAUAGUAACAAUUUAUUAAAAUAUUGAUUUUGAUUCUAAUUUUAAUAAGGAAGAACACCAAGAACGUUAUCCCUCUAAAUAUGUACUAUAUACAAAAAAUAAUUGUAAAAAAAGGGUAGAAAAAUAAAAGACAACUCAGAAAAUACUAUUUUUUUUAAUUAUAGAAUAUGACAUUGCAACCUAUAAUUACAUGUAAUUAUAUAAAGAUUAAAAAAUCAAUUAAGAAUUUCAAAUUAAAAUAGAUCAAUACAUGUAAUUACAAUCAAUUAAAAAUUGCAAGUAAAACUUUUGAAGUGGAAUACUAAAUUACCCGACUUAAUAAAUUAAACAAUUAAAAUUUAUUCAUCCUUUCAAAUUGUAAAAGUAUUAUUAGUCAAAAGUUUCAAUAAUAAACUAAACUCAAUUCAGCAAAAAGGUAUUUGAGUGCAAUUGUUUCUUUGUUAGGCGCUUUGCCUCUCUUUAAAGAACUAGAUGUUAAUUAUUCUUCUAUCAAAAAAUCCUUAAAAUAAUUAAAUUUUAUUUUCUAACUUGUUCUCUUAGUUUUUUUGAAACUAACAAAUAAAAUCUGAAAAUUCACAUAAAAAUUUUAUGAAAAUAUUGAUAAUUAUUACUAUAUGUUGUUCUGUAAGUACUUUUAAUACUAACAACGAUGUUAUAUUAUAUUGAUAGAUUUUUUUUUCAAUUAGAAGUUUUUAAAAUAAAUUAAAGCAAUAAUAAAAUUUUAGCUCCCUAAUUUUUCAAUCUAUUCAAUAAAUACGUAAUUUAAUCAUUUUAUAAAAUAAGUCACUAAUUGCAAUUGAAAAUAAUAUAAUUGAAUUAGGGACAUAUUUGUAAAUAAAAAAAACUAUUGUUAUAUAAAAUUGAUGAAAACAUAAGGAUAAUUGAGUUAAGGACAUAUUUGAAUAUAAAAUAUUGUUGUACUAAAUCGAUGAAAAUGUAAGGGUAAUUGAGUUAGGGACACAUUUAAAUAUAAAAUAAAAAAUCUAUUGUUAUACCAAAUUGAUAAAAACAUAAAAGUUAUUGAGUUAGGGACGUAUGUGAAAAUAAAAUAUAAACUCUAUUCUUUUACUAAAUUAAUGAAAAUGAAAAAAAGAGGUAUAAACGAUUUUUUCCCACAUGUAGGUCCGCCACUCGUGUUGUAUGAGAAUUGUAAUCCAAAAAUUUUCCCUACAAAACGAUUUUUAAUCGACAGCAAAUUUUCACUACAAAACGAUUUUAAACGAUUUUUGUUUUUUUUCGAUUAAUUUUGAAAUGUUGCAUACAUAACGAGCUGCCAUUGAAAUUAAUGUUAACAACCAAAGUAGAUGCAAAAGGAGAAACAAGCAUCAUGUGCAGUACCCACUGUGAACUACUCACAUUGGAAUAAGUUGUCGGCAGCUGGUCUGUUUGGCCAUUGAUAUUUUGACUAUUCAAUGUUGAUUUUGACCCCACUAAAUUAAGCCAUCAAAAAUUGCUGGGAAGGGAGUAAUAUCUAUUCAUAACUGGAAAUUACUCGCCGUACAAUGAUGAUUGGAGCUGCAUGUAUCAUUUAUUAUUAACAACUAACUUAUGAAAUGCUUUGAAUGUACCUCCUAGGUCGUAUUUACUAUACUGGUUAGGAGAAACUACAAUAUUAAAUUAUUUGAUAAAUACUUAUUAUAAUUUAAAAAAUAUAUUAAUUUUGUCCUCCACUUUAUGAUAAAAAAAUUAUAAUAUAUAUAAAUCAUUCAUUCUAUAAUCUUGAACUUUAUUAAAGUUCCAAAAACUAUUACUCUAUAUGAUAUACUCGGGUGAUGUUAUUACACUAUUAUACAGUACAAAAUAUAUUUGUUUUCUUAAAUUUUAAUAAAGUCUAGGUCUUGGAGAGAAGCGCUUUAUAUAUAUGUAUAUAUAAUGAUUCUCUAGUGACGACAUCCUCAUUUUAACAAAGUGAUGAUAUCACUAACAAACUAAAUAACACACAUUUCAAUACACCAAUUGAUAAAAAAAUCCAGUUUUUAAUGUGUUAAAAUAUAUGUCUUUUGUAUAUUAUUGAUAUUUUCAUUUUAACAAAGUGAAGGUCUCCUCACUAUAGAAGUGCUUUAUAAAUAUUUUCUGUAUUUUUGUAAAAAUUAUUAUUUAAAAGUCAUAUCUUACCAAAGACUAAUAGUUUUUAUUUUAUCACUAUACUGUACUUUUCAAGAUAGAACACCUCAAUACCAUGACCUUAAUUUUGAACUCUCUUGUACAAAGUUGUUGGCGGGUCUAUUUAGUUUAGUCUUUCAACUAUUUGUCGUUUGAACUAAGAUGAUCCGAAUAAAGAUAUAUAUCAAUAAUUUCCUAGUGAAACUUCGGAAAAAUAUAAAAAUCCUCUCAUAUAGUAGCAUUAUUUUAAUUCUCAGCUUGAUUAUGUUUUGAGUUAACUUAUAAAUUAUUUGAAAUAAAAAGAAUAUAAUUUAUUUUUUCCAACGGAAUUUUUUAAAUAAUUUUAUUAGUUUAAUGAGUAAUUAUACACUUACAAAGUUAUGAUAUAAAAUUAUAUCCCUAAAUCCCAAUAAUAUGACACCAAUGAACUACUGCUAUGUGUUUCUUAGUAAUUAACUUUUUAUACUAUUAUUAAUGAGAUAAUUAACUUCAACACCAAUAUAAAAAUUUUAUAUUAAUACAUCCUCUAGCUUUAGACGUUACAGACUCUGUAUGUAACGCAGCAAAUGAGGAGCAUCCACGCGUUGCAGGAGAGAGGAAAAGUUGUUGGAAUUUAGCUGAUACAAGACUAAUUUCCAUUGAGCUGUUACAUACAGAGUCUGUAAGGUAGUUUUAUUAUCAAAUAAUCAUAUGUCAUAAUCGAACCAAGCUACCAGAGCCUACCACUAAAAGAGUGAUUGAAGGGUUUUCCAAGUUUGAAAAUGUUAGUAGCAUUGGCAAAUGGCAACUUCCAGGAAUCUUCCUGCUACAAUCAAGUUGAAUCAACUAUUCAGUGAAAUACGCAAACGGCACAUAGGACCCCGCCACCCGUAAAGUCACAAUCAUUUGUUUAUUUGUCAAUCAAGUUGAAUCAACUUGAAUAAAGCCUAAAAUCUAAUUUUUUAUUUCGUUCACUUCAAAUAGACCCCCCCCCCCCAAAAAAAGAGAUGUUGAAUAAAGCAUAAAAUCUAAUUUGAUUUUUAAUCUGAUUUAGCUAAGAUGUCGAAUUUAAGACUAAGAGCAAUGUUAAGGAUCCCAAUAAUUGAGUCCCAAGUGAUAUGGUAGUCAUUUAUUCUAUGAUCGAAAUAUUAAUUUUACUAAUUAUGAAAUUUAUUAUCUAAUGAAAAAAUCACACAUAUCAAUUGGGUCUCAAGUUAGAUUUCUACUAUUGAAAUUCCUAACAUUUUUCCAAUAUUUAAAAAUUCAUCAAAAUAAUAUCUAUUAUCUAAAAAAAUAAAAUAAAAAUCUAAAACCAUAUAUUUACUUUUCAAUCUUUGGCUGAUUUUUUUUUAAAGUUUUGGUUUCUUUAGAAGUGCAAAGAGAAAUAGUAAUAAGAUUAAAAAAGCAAUGAAGUAAAACUUUAAAAUUUUUAUUUCUUUAUAUUUUCAUCGGUCAUUUUACCGGUACUGGUUUGAUUUUCUGACUAAGCUACUGUUUAGUUCUAAGUCUUGGCAAUUACCCGGACUGCUCUGUUUUGUGUAUCUUCGACACAAUAAGGCUUAGCAUUUAAAAGUCGGCAGCCACGCAACUUCUUGGAAUCUUCGCGCAAGUGUUGGAUAUCGACUGUUCGAUAAUGAUGGCAGCAUUGGACUGGAGUGUAAUUGACGCAGUGGAAUAAGGAUCACAUGUCUCAAACUUCUGGCGAAGAUACUGUCAGAUAUUUUAUUGAUCAAGUAAGGAUCACAAAUAAUUGACGCAGUGUAAUUUGCUUUUUUUGCUACUGAUGUAAGUCUUGCAAUUAUUUUUAAAUAAUGAUAUUAUAAUUAAAAAUCAAGAAAUAUUUAUAAUACUUAAAGACUGAUUCAGAUUAUUAAUUCUUUUAUAUGACUUAAUUAUUAGCUGACAAAUAAUUAAAAAGUCAUGGAACAAUACUUUUAUUCUAAUAUGACACAACUUGUACUUUCAUUCCUAUGCUAAAAUAUAUCUAACUUAUUAAUAGUCAAGAAAUAUAUCUAUUCAACAUAUAUUUGUUAGAAAGAUUAUCUACUAAUUAAUCAUUCAGACAAGAUUACGAGUCUCAACAUAAAGAGUAAUGAUAUAAUCAUAAAUUUUUGUAUAAAUUUAUUUUGUAUAAAUUAAUAUGUCAUAAUAAGAUUGGUUAAAUUAAAUAUCACUUGACUCAUAUAAUUUAUUUUUAUUAUUUUAUAUUUUCAUUCAACUAAUGAAUUAAUGUCAUGUUAAUUUAUACAAAAAUAUUUAUACAAAAAUUUAUAGUUAAUUUAUACUCCAAAUUAAGAUAAAAAUUAAUACAUUGAAAUUCAGAACCCUUUUUUAUUUUUUUUUUCCUUCUGCAGUUUAAAAAGGAGUCGCCCACGAUUAUUGAAAUAAUUUUAUCAGAUUCGCUUGAAAGUAGUUUUACGAGCAAGCGGUUUUUCCCUCUUGAUCCCCGUAUUCGUCAGCUCCUACUCUUUGCCUUCAAUUCUCAGUCAAGAAAACCUCUCCUGAUUUUCGUCUUUUGAUCUCAUACACACUUUGCUUCUGUUCAUCGUGGUCGCUGCUCGUGCUAGCCGUUUUCUUAUUUAGCUUUGUUCCCUUUUGCCAUCAGCUCUUUGCUUUUUCAUUGGAUCAAGCAACCCUUUUCUUGAUUCAAUUUUCUGAUCUCAAAAACACUUUGAUUCUCUUCUGUUACACUGAUUUCCCCCUUGUUUUGUACAAAUAUAAUUUCUUUUUCCAAUUUUGCCUUGUUUUGCUUCUACUUGAUUAUCAAUUGCGCGGUCGUUGACCCUGUUCUAUUUCUAGUUCGUUCCCUUCCCCCCCCCCCCAACCCAAAAAAAAUGGACAUUUUGAAAAGCAUUGUAAACUGCUUGUCUCCUCACGCACAACGCGAAUUUAGUUAUUGGCAUAACUCCGCUGCCAACUUUGAGAAUCUCAAGGCAGAACUCGAUGGGCUCAAGGAUGAAAGAGAAAGCAUUCAGCGCAGAGUUUCUGAGGCUGAAAGAAAAAGUGAAAAGAUUGAAGAGAAGGUUGAGAAAUGGCUGGUUAAUGCGAACAAGAGCAUUGAGCAGGCAGCCAAAUUCAUUCAAGACGAAGAGAAAGCAAAUGAACGAUGUCUCAUGGGGCUGUUUCCUAAUUGGAUUACUCGCUAUCAGCAUGGAAAGAAAGCAGAAACAGAGAAGGAGGCCCUUUUUAAACUCCGAGAAGAAGCUGGGAGAUUUGAUAGAAUUUCCUACCCUACCAUUCCGGAGGAGAUUUGGCUCAAGUCUCACAAAGGCUACGAGGCCUUCGAAUCAAGACUUCCUACUUUGGAGGAUAUAAAAAACGCAUUAAUCAAUGUUAAUGUCAGCAUCAUUGGGGUGUACGGCAUGGGCGGCAUUGGAAAGACGACACUGGUGAAGGAGUUUGCAAGGCGAGCCAUUGAAGACAAGCUUUACGAUAUGGUGGCUUUUUCGGAGGUUACCCAAAGUCCAGACAUAAAAAAGAUCCAAGAGGAAAUUGCGGAAACGUUAGGCCUACAGUUGUCCGAGGAAGCUGAGUCUAGAAGAGCUGGUAGACUAUAUGAAAGAUUGAAGAAUGAGAAGAAGAUCCUUGUGAUUCUGGAUAACAUCUGGAAACCUCUUGAUUUGGGGACUAUUGGAAUUCCUUUUGGAGUUGAGCACAGAGGAUGCAAAUUAUUAUUCACAACAAGAGAUCUUGAUGUGCUGUUAAGGAUGGGAUCUGAAAAAAACUUGUCGAUUGGCAUUUUAAAUGAACAAGAAGCCUGGAGAUUGUUCAAGAUAAUGGCUGGUGAUUAUGUUGAAAAUCGUGAGUUAAAAUCUGCAGCAACAAGUGUAGCCAAGGCAUGCGGAGGUUUGCCUAUUGCCCUAACCACAGUAGCAAAGGCACUGAGAAAAAAAGAGCUGCCUGUGUGGAAGAAUGCCUUGCAAGAGCUCCAAACGCCUUCAGAGGCGAGCGUCGACGAAGGAGUACCAGCAGAGGCAUACUCAACAAUUGAGCUGAGUUACAAGUACUUAAGAGGUGAGCAACUCAAGAAAACUUUUUUACUGUGUAGUCUUAUUACGCCAGCACCAAUUAUGGACUUGUUCAAAUAUAGCAUGGGCUGGGGUGUAUUUAAAAGUGUCCACAAGCUAGAAGAUGCACAUAACAAAUUAGAUGCAUGGGUCCAUCAACUAAGAGACUCUUGUUUGCUGCUUGAGGAUGGUGGCAGUAAAUACUUUUCUAUGCACGACGUUGUUCGCGAUGUUGCCAUUUCAAUUGCAUGUCGUGACAAAAUUGGAUUUGUGGUGAGAAAUGGCCAAAUGCAGAUGAAUUAAAAAAAUAUCUUGCAAUUUCUUUAAAAGAUAGUAUUAUUAAUGACAUUCCUGAAGGGUCCGAAUCUCUACAACUUGAACUUCUACUCAUGUCUCCCAAGAACUCUUUUGCUGUGCCUAAUAUUCCUGAGAACUUCUUCAAAAGGACGAAAAAGCUUCGGGUUUUGGAUUUGACUAGAAUGCGGUUAUUGUCAUUGCCAUCUUCAAUUGGUCUUCUAGUAAAUCUUCAGACACUUUGUCUUAAUCAAACCAUUUUGGGAGGCAUAGACAUAGCCAUUAUUGGAAAGUUGGAAAAUCUAGAAAUCCUCAGCUUCGUGCGGUCUGAUAUGGUGCAAUUGCCCAAAGCACUUGGUCAACUGACUAAGCUAAGGCAGUUAGAUUUAACUGACUGUUUCCGUCUAAAAGUUAUUGCUCCAAAUGUCAUAUCAAGCUUAAUCCGAUUAGAAGAAUUGUAUAUGGGUAAUUGCUCCAUUGAAUGGGAGGUUGAAAGAGCGAACAGCAAAAGAAGUAAUGCUAGCCUUGAUGAAUUGAUGCAUUUACCUCGGCUAACCACUCUAGAAAUUGAUGUUAAAAAUGAGAGUAUGUUACCAGAAGGCUUUUUGGCCAGAAAGCUCGAAAGGUUCAAAAUACAUAUUGGAAAUGGGUUAUUCACACAUCCCAUGCUUUUUAGACAACAGUGGUUUAAAAGUCGGCAGCACUUUUGGAUCAACAGUAAACGCAAGAGUUUAAGAGCAUUGAAGCUCAAGCUUGAUUUUAUGGACAUUUGCUCCAUGAAAUUGCAGGGCAUCAAUAACGUUGAAUACUUAUGGUUGGACAAGCUGCAAGGCAUCGAGAAUGUUCUUUUCAAUUUGGACACGGAGGGCUUUUCACAAUUGAAGCUUCUCUGGGUUCAAAAUAAUCCUGACUUCUUUUGUAUCGUCGAUUCAAGGGAGAUGGUCGCUUGUGAUGCCUUUCCUCUUUUGGAGUCACUUAUCCUUCACAACUUGAUCAACAUGGAGAGGAUAUGUAUUGAUCGGCUCAAAGUAGAGUCUUUCAACGAACUCAAAAACAUAGAAGCAUAUAAUUGUGAUAAAUUGAGUAAUAUCUUUUGGCUCUCUACUACAAAAUGCCUUCCAAGACUUGAGAGAAUUGCAGUUAUUAAUUGCAGCAAGAUGAAAGAGAUUUUUGCAAUUGGGGAAGAAGUUGAUAAUGCAAUUGAGAAGAUAGAGUUUGCUCAAUUAAGAUCUUUGAGUCUGGGGAAUCUUCCAGAGGUUACAAGUUUUUGCCGCGAGGUGGAGACUCCUUCAGCAUCACCAAACAGACAAGUGUCGCAAGAGGAAUCGACGACUAUGUAUAGCUCCAGCGAAAUCACUUUGGAUAUUUCAACUCUGCUUUUCAACGAGAAGGUGCGUAGGCUAACAGAUUUUAUUCUAUCAUGCGUUCUGUUUUGAUGUCAUACGUGGAAAAUAAUUAAAUCAUUUAAAGAAUUGAAAGAAAAUGGAAAAAAGGAUAAAAAGAAUCUCACGCGCUCACUAAUUGAGCUCUUAACAAGUAGUAUGAAUUAGAAUGCAUACUCAGCUGUCAGUUGGAAAUUGAUUCUGACUUGCAUUAAUUUGUAAUCAAAGAAGAAAAUUUCAACAAGUGCUUCCCAUAUGGAUAUUGGAUCUAACGAGAAAUUCUUAUUUUUUUAGGUAGUGUUGCCUAACUUGGAGGCUUUGGAGAUAUCUACAAUUAAUGUCGACAAGAUUUGGCACUACAAUCAUCUUCCGGUCAUGUUUCCUCGCUUUCAAAAUUUAACACGAUUGAUUGUAUACUGCUGUAUCAAAUUAAAAUACAUAUUUUCAGCGUCUAUGAUCGGAAGCCUGAAGCAGCUCCAACACCUAGAAGUAUGCUUAUGUGAGGAUUUACAGGAGAUCAUUUCUGAAAACAGAGCAGAUCAAGUGAUCCCUUAUUUUGUCUUUCCACAGCUCACCACUCUGAGACUCCAAGAUCUACCAAAACUUAGAUGUUUGUACCCUGGAAUGAAUACUUUGGAAUGGCCCGUGCUAGAAAUUCUUUUUGUGUAUGGUUGUGACAAAUUAAAGAUAUUCGCUGCAGAUUUAUCGCAGAAUAAUGAGAAUGAUCAACUUGGUAUUCCUGCACAACAGCCCCUAUUGCCGUUGGAAAAGGUAUGAAGUCAUUUUCUAGAUUUUUUAUCAAUAGCUUAUUUUUAACUUUGAAAAAUAUGACAAAGUAUCGAUAAAUUAAUACUCAAUAAAUUAAAAACUUUUAUUAUACAAUAAUCUUUGCUAGUCUAGACUAAGGGAUCAAUGUCGUAGAUUAAUAAUUAUAUGAACUGUUUUAGGUAUAGCAUUUAUAAAAGAAUCCUUAGUCUUUCCAUAUAGAAGAACUUACAAAAUAAAUUAGUAAUUUAUUAUUGUGCAAUAAAAUAAUUUCGAGCCAGUAUAAAUCAACCUUUUUUCCCUAAUUUCUUUUUUACCUCUAAAAUUAACAUAUAAAAUAAAUUUUAUCAAUAAUUCAAUUUUUUUUAAAAAUAUAAUAUAAAACAAAUACUAUAAAGUCACUGCAUGUGACCGUAGAUCAUCAAUUGACCUCAUUAGUUAUUAUGAUUGAUGAUGAUCAGAUCGUACCCAACUUGAAGAAACUAUCACUAAGUGGAAAAGAUGUGAAGAUGAUUUUGCAGGCCGAUUUUCCACAACACCUUUUUGGCAGUCUUAAACAACUAGAGAUUGUUGGAGAUGACUCAGCUUGUUUUCCAAUCUGGAACGUACUGGAGAGAUUUCACAAUCUUGAAAUGCUCAUACUGCGUUAUUUUUCAUUCAACGAAGAGGAAUUUUCGAAGGAAGGAUGCUUAGAGAAACAUGUGGGGAAGUUGGCAAUGAUAAAAGAAUUACAGCUGCACGGGCACGAUCAUCUUGAGCAGCUGUGCAAACAAGACUCCAAACUUGGCCCCAUUUUUCAGUAUCUUGAAAUUCUAGGAGUAUAUUAUUGUCAAAGUGUGUUAAUUCUAUUGCCAUCAUCAUCGGUAUCUUUUCGGAACCUAACAGAACUUGUAGCUUUCGGUUGCAAGGAAUUGAUACACUUGGUAACAUCCUCCACAGCAAAAACUCUAGUGCAACUCGUCACAGUGAGUAUACAUGGAUGCAGAGCAAUGACAGAGGUGGUAAUAAAUGACAAAGAUGGAGUUGAAAAAGAAGAGAUUGUUUGCUGCAAAUUGAAGAUGUUGGGACUGUUUGAUUUAGAUAGCCUCACAAGUUUCUGCUCUGCCAAUUACACCUUCAAAUUCCCAUCUUUACAAGAUUUGAAUGUGAUUGGUUGUCCCAAGAUGAAGAUUUUCACUACAGGAGAAUCAAUCACGCCUCCAAGAGUAAAUGUCUGGUAUGGAGAGACAGGGGAUCGAUUGCUUUGGACCAAUAAUGAUCUCAACACAACCAUACAACAAUUACAUGCUGAAAAGGUACGGAUAUACAUAGUACUCUCUAUCUCCCAUGGAAACAUUUUACAAAAUUUUUAUUUUAAUAAAAUAUAGAUAAGAUAUUUGUUAUAAAGUAAAAGUUUAAAUUGAUGAAUAAGAAUUUUAUUUUCAGCUGUUGGCGGUGCAGUCGGCGAUCUCUACCCAUUACUAAUUUCAUAGGCUUCUUAUGACUUGGGAGUUGUGAAUUUUUAGAAGAAAGCCUCAGCUGGUAAUUAAUUUUUAUUUCAUUUAUUUGAUCUCAUGGCUUGUUUCGCAAUUUCAUCUGAAUUAUUUAGAAUGGGUCAAUCGGCUUACUGUUAAAUUUGGAAUGCAAUUUUAAUGAUUCGUUCAGACUUUUGUGGACAGAUUUUGCAUCAUUGAAUGUCUUCUAGUCUAGUUUAAUUUGAGUAUUUUUUUCUUUUUUUCUAAAAUUUUAUAAUUCCUUGCAUACUUUGUAUGAUAAAAUUUCAUAAAAAGCCUUCAUAUUUUAUAAUUCCUUGAAAACAUCAUUGUUGUUCUGUUAUUUUAGUUUGUUCAUUUGGUUUGGUUUGCUUCACCCCUAUCUUUCUUUGGAAACUUUUUGUUUUUUUUUUUAUGAUCUUUCCAAAUGCUCUUUCCUAUGAACACAUAAUUAAGAACAGCUGAAAAUCAUUCAUCGGAUAAAAAAUUAAAAAUAAACAAAAUCUAAUCAGAGCAUUAUGCCUAGAACAAAUCCUUAGACCAUCAAAGCCAAACUCUUCGCUAUGAAAAACUAUAUUGUGGAAAUAUUGUUUGAAAACGUUGGACACCAAGAAAGGGACUAAUUUGGUCUAGUUUUAUGAGAAGUAUAGAAGAACGUUGUUUUCUCUGUUUUUCCUGUUAGAACUCUUUACUCUAUGAUUGUAGAAUGUCUGGAUACUGAUGAAGAUUCAGGUAACUCUUCUCCUGUGCAUCAUUUGAAAUAAGUUUUUUUUUUUUUUUUUGGUAAUAUCUCCUACUGGGUUAUAGUUCAUACAAAGAGAAAUUCUUAAAUCAAGCCGGAUACUGGUAGAAACAAGUGGGGAAGUAGGCACUGAUAAAAUGGUUAAUCCUGUCCAGACUUAAUCAUUGAAGCAACUCCAAAUUGGACUCCAUUUUAAAUAUUUUGACAUUCUAAGACUAUUUUACAAGCAUUUAAUGAAUGAAAGUCUAGUGCAGCUCGUAACAAUGAAGGUAGCUGGAUGCAGGGCAAUGACAGAGGUGGUAAUAGGUGACGGAGAAGAAGAUGGAGCACCAAAUUUACUUUAAAUUAAUGAAUGAAAGAAUUUAUUUUCUGCUGUUGGAGGAGUCGUCAUCUCUCUCGACAUAGUAUACGAUAUGUUUUGAUCCCAUAGGCUUUUUAAUAUAUUACCUUGUGUUGUUUGAUCUCUAGGUUUAUUUUAUCGUUUCAUCUUAUUAUUUGCAAUGCGUCAGUUGGUUUAUUUGUUAAUUUUGGAAUGAAGUUGAGCGGGUAUCUAUUCGGCAAGAAAUUCUGUUUAUUUCCUAGUUAUUUUACAAAGUUUAAGAGAUUUUCUUAUUUUUCUUAUUAUUUUCAAUAUUUUUAUAUUUUUUCUCUAAAUAUAAGAUUUUAAGUAUGAUUUAUUUUAUUUUUCUUAUUUCAGUUAGGAGAACGUUAUUAUGUAAUAAUAUUUUAAGUUUGCCUAUUUUGAUAAAUACAUAAUACUUAGAAUUUGUGUAAAAAGGGUCCAAUACCCUAAUUUUGUUAUUCAAACUUCUAUUAAUAAAAUUUCAGACUUUUUAAAAAAAAUUCUCUAUAUUUUCAAUCUCAACAUCUAUGUUUCCCUUUCAUCAUAAGUUUUAAUGUCUGGUUCUGAGCUAGCUUUAUGUGCAUAUUAAACAUCAUUGAAGGUCUUUUGAUCUAAGUUGUGAUCAAAAAAUUAUGCUCGCUUCUGUCUGGUCGUAUGAAAAUUGUGCAAAAUAAUAUUCUUAUAUAAUUUUUAUCCUCCAUUGUUACAAAAUCCCAAGCUUCGAAUUUGUAAACUUUGAAAGCAUGGCAGAAAACUUAGUACUUAAUAAGGCUCUGGAAUAAGACUCUUUAUGGCUUCAAUAUUUUAUUUAACAUGAAAAUUUCUUUCUAACUAGCAUCAUUGCGAAGAUAAAUUGUGGUAGUUCUGACAAGUACUGCACAAUUAAUGUUACCAGCAAUCAAUUGUUGUGAGCACCGACAACCAUUUUCAUAUUUAAGCCUUAAGAACAGUAACUCAAAAUAUGGCAAGUGGCAACCACAUCAAAUAAUCAAAUUGUUGAUAGAUUUAGAGAGCUUUAAUUUGCUUGAUAUAUAUUUGAAUAUUUCAACAGAUGCAUCUUUUCUCUACUCACGGGGCACGUUGAGUUAGAAACGGUUUGAAUGUCAAUAUUACUCCAAGUGCCUCAACCAAAUUCAGAAUGAAAAAAACCAUCUGGUUACCUGCACUUUAGUUUAAGCAGCUGAUUAAGUUAGUUAGCACCAAGUAAUUCACAUACUGGUGAGAAAUUUCAUUAGUAAAUCAUCAUACCGGGGAGGAAACCAGCAUCUUGACGCUUUUGUGACCAAGAAAAUCUGCACAACCCGAUUAAUCAAGUUGUUACCAAACAAAUGAUCAAUUUAAUCAUGCCUUAAUUUUUUCUUUUUUUUUUUUUGUGCCGGGGGGGGGGGGGGGGGGGGGGGGGGGAAUAAAAAUCGUAACUUCAUUUACAUAUAAUUUUACAAAAUCAAUAGGACACUUACGGAGCACCUCCUACAGUCAUAGCAAGUCCAUUGGCAGCUCCUCUUUGAUGCUGUUCCCGUUAUUGUGGCAUAAACCAACAAAUUAAAUUUAAACUUUGACACAUACAAAAUUUGAUAAGGCUGAAAUCAUGGAAAUGUACUAAACAAAUAAAAGAAAAAAAUAUUUACCACUGCUCUGUUUUGAAGAAGGAAUAAUCCAGUUAUUAUAGCCACCUGAUGUUACAAUUCAGGAAAAGUAAAAAAGAAUUACAAGAAUUCUAAUAAAAAAGACAUAAAAUAAUUUUAUACAUACUUGCUGAUGGAUAAUAUAACCUACGUAUAUGGAUCAAUGAUUAGGAUAUCCACUUACAGAUAAAACAUUCUUCAUCACAGAAGCACAGUUUAUCAAUAAGGCAAGGCUGAACCCAGAUAACAUUGCUAUAAAAGUGUAACUUGUCAAAAGCGCCAUCGAUAAAACCUGUACACACAUAGAAAAUUAUGGGACCAAAACCAUGAAGAAAAGUGUUUUAUAAACAAAUAUGUUUGAAACAAACUAUCAAAUGGUCUAAAUGCCACAUGGUGUGUUCAAAAUUUUACCCCUGCAAUGCGUGUUAUGAUUAUUGGCCCAAUGAUCCUCUCGACGUAAGGGUAUAGAGUGAGUUGAAAAAUAAGGAGGCUGAAUCUUGUAGUAAGUUCAAAAUGAGGACAAUCAUCAAGCAUGUGAUGGUGUCAAUGUAGUCAUUAUAAGAGAAGCGAAAGUUAUAUUUUAUAGUCUCACCAAUAAGAAAAUUUGAAGUUAUGGGAGAGUUGCUAUUACAUGUACAAUUCAGCCUGAAAAGAGAGCUAAAGGCUACGUACCGGAAUCCAGCAAGAAGCAAUAGUUACCGCAAAAGCAAAGAGUGACAUACAGAGACAGGGCAGAGAUGAAUUCAGUCAGCUGAAUCAAUUGAAGAGUGAAGUGCCAGCUCAGCUGAAGUUAGUUAGACACGUUUAGAUCAUAUUCAGUUAGUUUCUUCAUUUUCUGUUAAGCUGUAAACAGCUGAGUAUAAAUACAAGCAUCUUGUAAUCAUUGAAGUUUUAAGCAAAAUAAAAUAAAGCAUUUGAUUUCAUAAGUCUUUUACAAUUUUCUCAGCACUUGAAAAUACAUUUUCUCAGUAACCAAACAGUCUAUUCAUUCAAGCUUUUAAGCUUUCAAACAUGGUAUCAGAGCCAUACAGAGCUAGUUCCAGUAAUCAACAGUCAAGCUUUCGUAAUCAAACAACAAACAACACAAAUCAACCUACUCAAAUCAACUUCUCUUUUACUAAUCCUAUCAAGCUAGAUCGAUCAAAUUACUUACUCUGGCGUUCUCAAGUUCUAGCUUCAAUAAGAGGCAAUCGUUUGGAAGAUUUCGUCAUAGGAGACAGAUCAGUACCUGAUAAGUGUCUUCUGUUAACUGAAGCAGAUGGAUCUAUACAACAAAUUGAAAAUCUAGAAUAUCAGAUCUGGAGAUCACAGGAUUAGACACUUCUUGAUUGGCUACUGUCGUCAUUAAGUGAAGGUAUCUUAAGUCUUGUUAUCAAUUCUGAGAGUUCUUUUGAUAUAUGGAAAACUUUGGAAAAGAAAUUUGGAGUUCAAUCUAAAGCUCGACUGCUUCAGCUCAUAUAUGAACUAAACACUAUUAAAAAGGAAGCUCUUAGUGUUGAAGAUUAUUGUAUUAAAAUGAAAGCAAUAGCUGAUAAGCUGGCCAGUGCUGGUAGUUCCAUUACAGAGAAGGAUCUUAUGUUAACUAUUCUUAAUGGAUUAGGACCAGGAUAUCGUGAUAUUGCUACAUUUAUAACUGGUUCACAAAUGGAAUUUGAUGAUGUUUAUGCACUGUUACUCACUCAUGAGACUAGAUUAGAGCAGGAGCAAGGUGACAAAAGUAUGUUUAAUGCAAACUAUGCAUAUACGAAUGCAUAUUAUCCUAGAGCUUAUUUUGCACAGCCUAGAGGAAGUUUUAAACGAGGAGGUUAUUCUGGUGGUAGAACUCCUUUCUUUGGCAGAGGAAAUAUGAAUUACUCUCCAAGAAUGUUUAAUGGAGGUUUUAAAAAUGGAUAUGGCAGAGGAUUUUUUUCCUGGAAACAACUGAUUUCAAUCAUUUUCCAGCUCCUAGGAAUCCAGUACCUAGGAACUCAUCUUUUCUAACUAGAAAUGGAUCUGCUAACAUGAGUGGAUCACAAGGAAGUUUUAAUAAUGCUGGGGAGCUGGUAUGUCAGAUUUGCUUUAAGAGUGGUCAUACUGCUGAUGUCUGUUGGCAUAGAUUUGUUGAAGACUUUGUACCUGUUCCAAGAGGUUUUGGCAGGGGAAAAACACCAAGAGCAGCAUAUUUCUCAAACUUUGAUGGCUCUACUUCUAAUCCAGAUUUUGGCUAUGAAAAUCUUAAUAAUAUGUUUCCAGGUUAUGAUUCUAUGUCUGGCAAUAGUUAUUAUUAUGGAAUGGAUAGAUACACUUCUGGAGCAGCUGGAACAGCCUUUAUGGCUAAUUUUGAAGGAACUGCUGAUGAUGGAUGGUAUCUGGAUAGUGGGGCAACUCACCAUUUAACCAACAACAUGGAGAAUUUGCAGAUCAAUGAAGAGUUUAAAGGUACUGAUCAGCUUAUCAUUGGAAAUGAUCAAGGUUUGUCUAUUACUCAUGUUGGACAUGCAUUUCUGGUGUUAAGAGCUUCUAAAUCCUUAUCUACACAUGCUAGAAUAACACUUAAAGAUAUGUUACUUGUUCCUUCAAUUACCAAAAAUCUAUUAAGUAUUUCCAAACUCACAUCUGAUAAUCCUGUAUAUGUUGAAUUCUGUGGAAAUGUUUGUUUUGUGAAGGACAUGAAAGGUCAAGUUCUUCUGCAGGGUAUUGCUGAAAAAGGCCUUUACAAGCUGCUGCUGAACUCCAAUUCUCUUUCUUCAUCACCUACAUCCUAUCUUUGUAAAUCCCAGCCAAAUAAACCAGUUUCUAUGUUAUCUGCUUUCAAACACUGUGAUAAUGGUACUCGAGCUUGCUAUCAGUCUGUUUUAAAUAAGUGUAAUGCCAAACCUGAUAUAAUAACUUUGUUACAUAGAAAGUUUGGUCAUCCAAGCUCAAUGACAUUGGUGCAUUUGCUUAAAUCAUGUAAACAAUUUAAAGUCUCUUCAAAAGACAUGUUAUCUUCUGCAAAUACUUUAUGUGAAGCAUGUCAGCUAGGCAAAGUCCAUAAGCAACAUUUCUCAAUAACCGAAACAAAAACAAAAGGGGUAUUAGAAUUGAUCCAUACUGAUCUUUGGGGGCCUUCACCCACUAUGUCUAGAGAUGGAUACCAAUACUACAUUAGUUUUGUGGAUGAUUAUACUAGGUACUCUUGGAUCUAUCCUCUUAAGCUCAAAUCACAAGCAUUUGAAGUUUUUAAAUUGUUCAAAACUCAAGUUGAGAAUCAAUUUGAUACCAAAAUUAAGAUGCUACAAUCUGAUCUUGGGGGAGAGUUUAGAGUGUUUACUGAUUUUCUUAAUCAAAAUCGAAUAAUUUUUAGACACUCAUGUCCUUACACCCAUCACCAGAAUGGUCUUGUUGAGAGGAAACACAGGCAUAUAGUUGAGCUAGGCUUAACUCUCAUGGCUCAAGCAAACCUUCCUCUUCAAUUCUGGUGGGAAGCUGUUCAUACAGCAGUGUAUCAUAUUAACAGAUUGCCUACCCCUGUUAUGAAAUUCUUAUCUCCUUAUGAGAAACUUUUCAAACACAAACCAGAUUACACAUUCCUGAAGUGUUUUGGUUGUCUUUGCUAUCCAUACUUGGGAGAUUUUAACAAACAUAAGUUUGAUUUUCACACUUCUAAAUGCAUCUUUAUUGGAUACAAUCCCUCUUACAAAGGAUACAAGUGCUUAGCAAGUUCUGGUAAAGUCUAUGUUCUUAGACAUGUUAUUUUUUAUGAAAACACAUUCCCUUAUCCAAUAAACACUACAUCUCACUCAUCAGAAAACCCCAUAUCUUCUUAAACCUCAGUGUCUAAUUUCUCUCAACAACAUAUCUAUCAUCUUUCUACAAUGGCCUUACCCAACAGCAGCUUUGAAGGUCUUCAGUCAGCAGGCUCAGCAAGAAAUGAACAAAUUCCCUUUGUUCCCACACAUACAAAUAUUCUGAAUCAACAAGAACAUCCAUCACACACAUCUUUAGAGUUAUCAUCCUCAACCUCACCAUCACCAAACACAUUACCACUACAAUCAUCCAUUCUACAACCAGAGGAAAUUUCUAUUCCACAGAACACAGACCAAAUUCAAACCAGAAGUCAUUCUCAACCAUCUUCUCAUCCAAUGAUUACAAGAUCAAAAUCUGGAAUCUUCAAACCAAAGGUUUAUACAGUCACCUUAGCCAACAAAGAACUAAUACAGUUCAAGAAGCUCUUAGCAGUCAGAAUUGGCAUCAGGCCAUGGUAGAUGAGUAUGAAGCUUUGAUAAAGAAUGAGACUUGGUCACUAGUACCAUUUUCAAAUGCAUACAAAGUAGUUGACAACAAAUGGGUGUUUAGACUCAAGCAAAAUACUGAUGGAAGCAUAGCCAAACACAAGGCCAGGUUGGUUGCCAAAGGUUUUCAGCAAAUUGAAGGUGUAGAUUACUUUGAGACUUUUAGCCCAGUUGUAAAAGCUUCAACAGUAAGGAUUGUUUUGAGUUUAGCUGUGAUGCAUAAAUGGAAAAUAAGGCAAGUGGAUGUGAAUAAUGCCUUUUUGAAUGGAGAAUUGACAGAAGAUUUCUAUAUGGAUCAGCUUGAAGGUUUUAUUGAUCAACAAAAACCCAAUCAUAUAUGUAAGCUGAAGAAGGCCUUGUAUGGCUUGAAGCAAGCUCCUAGAGCUUGGUAUGACAAGCUUAAGAAUUGUCUGAUUGCUACUUGGAAAUUUCAGAAUUCAAAGGCUGAUACCUCUCUCUUUUUCAAAGAAGUGCAAGGCUCAAUGACACUUAUCGUAAUCUAUGUUGAUGACAUUCUAAUAACAGGACAUGUUAAUGAUGAGCUGGAAAAAUUCAUCUCAGAAUUCAGUAAGACUUUUGCCUUAAAAGACUUGGGAAUUCUAUCAUAUUUUCUGGGGAUAGAAGUUUCCUAUGUUGAAGACUGCAUCUAUCUAUCUCAGAAGAAAUAUAUCUUGGAUUUGUUAUCCAAAGCUGAUAUGCAGAAUUGUAAAGGCUGUGACACUCCCAUAGUUACUGGAUCAAAGCUUCAGAAAGAGGUCAAAGGCUGUUUGGCUCAAUAUAUUGAGGAUGCAACAAGCUAUAGAAGCUUAGUUGGAGGUUUACAAUAUCUGGUAUUAACCAGACCAGAGAUAACAUUUGUUGUGCAUAAGUUGAGCCAAUAUGUGACAGCUCCAACACUCCAGCAUGUUAUGGCUUGUAAAAGAGUUCUCAGAUACCUUAAGGAAACUAUAGAUUAUGGUUUGAAGUUUUCAGCAGGUGGGGAAAUGAAGAUCACAGGAUUUACAGAUGCAGAUUGGGCAUGUGAUGUUGAUGACAGAAAAUCAAUAGGAGCAUAUUGCAUCUAUUUUGGAAACAAUCUAAUUUUAUGGUCAUCCAAGAAGCAGGCUGUGGUUACACGAUCCAGUGCAAAGAGUGAAUAUCGUGCUCUGGCUUCUGCAAGUGCAGAGAUAACAUGGAUCCAGUCAUUAUUCAGUGAACUUAGCAUUAAGUGUACUUCAUUACCAACUAUCUGGUGUGAUAAUAUAAGUGCAACAGAGUUAGCUAAGAAUCCAGUUUAUCAUUCAAGGACUAAACACAUUGAACUAGACAUGCACUUUAUUAGAGACAAAGUUUUGGCAAAGGAGUUGGAGAUUAACUAUAUUCCCAACGAGGAGCAAAUUGUUGAUGCUUUGACAAAGCCUCUGACAUUCAUUCACUUCAAUUAUUUCAGGGCCAAACUCAAUGUGCAACCAUGCCCUUGAGUUUGAGGGGGGCUGUCAAGGAAGCUCAUAAUGCAUGGAAGGAUGCAGCACACGUGUGAGAUGAAUGCAGUCAGCUGAAUCAAUUGAAGAGUGAAGUGCCAGCUCAGCUGAAGUUAAUUAGACACGUUUAGAUCAUAUUCAGUUAGUUUCUUCAUUUUCUGUUAAGCUGUAAACAACUGAGUAUAAAUACAAGCAUCUUGUAAUCAUUGAAGUUUUAAGCAAAAUAAAAUAAAGCAUUUGAUUUCAGAAGUCUUUUACAAUUUUCUCAGCACUUGAAAAUACAUUUUUUCAGUAACCAAACAAUUUGUUCAUUCAAGCUUUUAAGCUUUCAAACGGGCAGGAAGUAAGGAAACCUGCAUAAAUUUGUUUUUCAGAAUACCAUCAUUUUGAAAGUACUACAGAAAAAGAAAAGGCUAAUGGCAGUAAAAAUUCACUUACUUUCCAAACAUAGAUUCUUUGGAAAAUGCCUUUGGAUAUUUCUCUGCUGGCUAGAUUGCAAAAUUAUCCACGAAUAUAUAUAAGAACAAUAUUUAUCAAGCCAAACUACUAAAAAUUCAAAAAAAAAUGCCCAUAAUAAUCAAGUAAAAAUUGCAGAACCCGGGCCAGAAAGCCACCCACUGCAGGGCCAAUAAUCAAUCCUGUGCCCCAUGCUGUACUGAGCUGAAAUUAUAUUGUACCUAAAAAUGUAACUUUUAGAGUCUCUAGCCACUGAUGAGGACACGUCUUUUGUCUGCUAGCGGAAAGCGCGUGACGGCAUGUUUUUUGUCAGAGCCUAGAGACGAAGAGGGAAGGAAAAAAAAAUAUCAUUAAUUUUUUUUCCUCUCUCGGUGGGCCCCACGUAAGGUGGGGCUUUGGUUUUUGUCGCAUUCUGUGGAGGGUGUAUAUCUAAAUCAACCCCUUGAAUACGGACACGUGUCGAUCUCAGAGAAACUCACGUUUUGUUGUUGGGACCCAUUAAUUCCCGUAAAAGUCCUAUUCUUAAAACAAGUCGAUACGAUGAUCAAUACUCCGCCUGUGGGUCCCGGCGACGACCCCCUACGCUGGGCAGUACAACACUCAAAAAUCGCCACGUGUUAUAUUUUAAAAAGCUUUGGGGGAGCGAAUCGAUAGAUUUUUUCUUUUCGUGACAAAGCACGCGGGGGGGGGGGCCUCCCUGGUGGAUUUGCCCGCCGUUGAUCAAUUUGUUUGAUGAUAAAGAUUCAAGCAAUCAUACACGAACUUGAUUCAAUGGAGCUUCAAAAGAUUGGCAUUGCAGUGAAGUCCUGAGUCUUCUACUCAUCUUUUAACAACCUUUGCAGAAGCACAACAACAGGGACAAAUUCUGCAUAAUCGGGAAAAGAAAAAUCAGAAGACGUCAUAUUGAAAUGCAUUCAUAUUAAUUUGACAAGAAGAGAAUCAAACGCAGACCUCGUUAAAAAUCUUGUAUGCAUACGCAUAUAAGAGAAGUUCAAUAAUUGCGACGCAGGAUCAUUGCCGAAGCAUUAAACAAAUACGAGGCAGAGAAAGAGGAGCUCUGAGGAAGAGCGUGUUAGUGUGGUAAUACAAUAUCCUCGAUGCUUGCUGAAUGGUGGACAGUGGCGUUGGAAUAUCAUCUAAUAAAAGGAGAGAAAGAGGUGGCAACUGGCAAAGUGGGUGAGUGAAAGUUCAAGGCUGAAGCGGUUGGCUAAACUUUGUUAAAAAGAUGCACAUAUUGAUAAUAAUAUACGACCGUACGUUGUCUGUUAACUUGGAACUCUUUAGCAUUUAAGCGAGUCUCUCUCUCUCUCUCUCUCUCUCUCUCUCUACGAUUGGGAAUUGGGAUUUCGGAUCGGGAUCUACCGUAUUCUCCGUCUAUCCUAUGCAUGUCAUCAUACAUCAGUAAGCGUGCGUGCCUCUGCGUCUCCCCCUCUCCUUUUUACACAACUAUUUACCGUUACUAUUUCUUUGUCAAUUCCCUUAUUUCGUGGUACUUGUAAUAAGACGAAAUUAACAAAGGAAGAAAAUGCUAAGGUACUUCAUUAGGCACAUUUCUCAUGCGUACUUGAAAGUAAUCAGAACCGUUGAUCUUUCCCCGAUGGGCCACCCACUGCAGGGCCAGUAAAAUUUUCUCAAGACCUUUGCAAUCAUACACGAACUUUGCAAUCAUACAUUCCUAAAGUUUGGUGUUUAUGGCGCAAUAUUUCACAUGCAUAUGCCUGGUGUAAGAGAAGUUUGAGCACAAAUAUUUGCAAGAAUUAAAUUGGAAUUAUCAACAAAUACCCCAAUCAAUACCUUUAUUGCUCCAAGUAAACCAUUCAAAGCCCCAAGGAGAAACCUUGUAGCUAUGGCCAUCCAGAAAUUCACACUAAGCCCAAAGAGAGUGUUAAAAAUAACCCUGUGAGCAUUUUAAGACAAAUAAGAAACCCAGAAAUUGCCAACGUAUCAUCAAUUUCAAGCUUAAUCAUUUGAAAAUAGAGGUCACUAACAAUGUGAUGCAUCCUAUUAUUAUUACAGGCUUUCGACCGAAGCGGUCAGCUCCCAUUCCCCACAAAAAAGAUGUUAAAGCUCUGCCAAGCAUGUAUGAAGACCCUUCAAUUUCAUCAAGGUAUUAAGAGGUUUGUCAGGAUGGCUUCUUGAGGAAUUUGAAAUGUUACAUACAUAUAUGUUAAUUAUUUGUCAGGAUGGCUUCAAUUUCAUCAAGGUAUAAAGGCGCAAGUCUGCAGUGUAAAACCCUUGUACAGUACCUUUACAGUGUCGUAAAGCCCUCGGUAGAAUGUUUUUACAGAGUUGUAAAGGCGCGAGUCUGCACAUUUGUACCAAAAAAGGACUCCAUACCAUGUGUCAUUUAUUAAACACAAUAAAAUUAUAAAAAUACAUAAAUUAACUCACCCACGUAACCAGCAUAGAAUCCAAUAUCUUCCUCCCUUUUUGCAAUGUGAAAAUCCCUAAUCUGAAAAGAAAUCAUAACAUACUGUUGUGAAAAAGCAAUGAAUUGUUUGAUAGAUAAAACUUGUCUUUUCUUAUAUUUCUAAGAAAAUCAGCAAGCAUGAUAGAAAAAUAUAAAUUUUCUCACUAGUAACUACUCUGGUGAAGGCAACAACAGUCCACUCACCAUAAAAUAAAGAAAGGGAAAGAGAGAUGCGACCGGCAGAACUGAAAAAAAAAAAAUCACCAAAGAAUUAAGGACAAAACUAGAAGAGCACAAUAGGCCAAAAUCAUUGUAAAUGGUUCUCUCAAAAAUCAUUAUAUCGAGUUGAAGUUGAAAAAUUUACCAGUUGCAAGCACAACAAUCUAAAUUAUAAAAAGCUUGCGAAUUGGUAAGCCUCGUUCCGACUCUUUAAGCUUAUCAACCUUACAGCCUGAGCAGUUCUCAUAAUAUUUCUUCUUCAGCAGCGGCUCUCUCACUUUCGCCUCCGCCAUACUUGAAAAAUUUUCAGCUCAAGUAAUCGUCUUAGUCUAUGCAAUCCAAUUUCAAUGCCUAAAUAUAAGUACUAGAAAAUAAGUAACAAAAUCAAUAUGCUUAAGGAUAUAGUAGAACUAUAUAAGUGAUCAUUUAAAGAAUUUUCAAUAGAAUUGUAAAAUCAGUUGAUUUUGCAGCUGGGUCUGUCACCACCAUGGUAAUUAAAAUUAUUGGAUCCCAUGUAAAACAAAAUUUUUUCAUUACAUGCCCUCAUUGCUGACGUCCAAUUAAUCAUUACUCUUGUGAGAAUAAUUUUUGGUGACAAGAACGGCGGCAUCCUAGGACGUGACAAAAUAGUCACAAAAAUCCCUUAUUUUAAAAAAUGAUCAUGAAAAUUUAUCCACGGACACACAAAUUCAGGAUCUAUGUAACUAUUUUUAAAUACAAAAAGAGGUCUAUAUAUAUAUUUGAAAAUAAGGGAUAUUCAUGAUUACCAUGUUAAGCCACGAGAUGUCGUGCUGUUUUUUUAUUUUUCAUUAAAUCGUUGUUACACAAUUCGACAUGUAAAAGUAAUUUUUUUUUUUUGAGAGAUGGUAACAAACAUAGUGACAAAACUAUCAAAGUACCGUCUAAUGAUGAAACUAAUUGUUAAUUAAUUAAUAAAAAUACUAAGGUGACGUUUGUUUUUUAACUUAAUGACUUAAAGUGACUUAACUUAAUUAAUUAAGUUAAUUAGAGGUGUUUGUUUUUAUAACUUAAUGAGACUUUUUAGAUAAUUUUGACUUAAUAAAAUAAGCCAAUUUUUUUAGUUUUUUACUUAAUGGAGAAAUUUGAAUUAAGUCAAUUACUUACUAAUGUCAAAAAUAUCCAUGUUUUAUAAUUUAUUUUUCAUGUCUAUCCCAAAACUCACCCAUAGACAUUUAUCCCACAUAAAAAUAUCCUUGUUUUUUCUUUCUUAUAUUAUAUAUGAUAAAAUUUAAAAUUUAUGGUAUUUUAUAUAUAUAAAUUCCAAAAUAAUUAUGUAUUCACUUGAAUAUAGUUUUACUUAUAAAUGUUAAAAUAUUGUGGUAUUUAAUAUAUUAUUUAUUUGACUUUCAAAUUUAAUAAGGAUACAAAAGUAAAAGUACAUAUUUUCAGUUGAAAAAAACAAACAACUUAAUACUUAUUUUCUGAGAUUCAGACGAAAAAACAAACAUGUUAUUUAGAUUCAGACAUUCAGAUCUAUUCAGAAUUCAGACUAAUUCAGGUCUAUUCAGAUUUCAGACAAAAAAACAAACGCCACCUAAGUGAUUGUAGCAGUUCCGGUCACAGUCACAGUCAAAUACAAUUAGGAUAAUUUAAUUUAAAUAAUGUGUAAUUUAGCGUUAGCCCCAAUUGUUUUGACAUUUUGCAUUGUGCCCCCCAAUCUUCCGACCAUGUCCACCACCCUCAUUUCUUUCAAAUCUAAUGUUAACGGAAAGAGGGGUAGAAUGGUAAUUAACACAAAAUUAAAAUAAUAUAUAUAAUUAAAAAAAAAACCCUUUUUUCCUUCGCCGCCUCUAUAAUUUAAUUUUGGGUUUGAUAUCUUUAGUUUUAAGAUUUUUGAUUAUUGAGUUUCUUUUUAUCGAAUUUUCUUAGUAUGAAUUUAUUUUGUAAUAGAAUUUUACAAUGAAAUUUGCUCUCAGGGAUUUUGGUAUCAUUAGUUUAGGGUUUCUUUCUAUUGGGUUUUAUUUAUUUUGGUGGGAUUAUUGGACUUAUUUUGUAAUGUACUGAUGAAUGUGUGUUUGAUUUUUUUCUUUCACAUUGGAAUCAUGCUUUGCCUCUGAUUUUGUAAUUUACUAGGUUAUAAUCUUGGGUUCGUAAUCCGGAAAAAAAUUGUUUCCAUAUAAUUUUAAAAAUAUUAUAAUAAAUUUUUACUUUUUGAUUUAAAUUUUAUUAGUUGUAAGGGUAUUUUAGUACUUAUAUACCCAAUUCAUUUCAAAACAGGGGGUAGUAUAGUCUUUUAAAUUUAUAACAGCCUAAAUAGUUAGAUUAGUUGAUUUUUUAAUAGAAAUAGGGGGAGGUGCACAUGGUCAAAAGAUGUGGGUGCGCUGUGUGAAAUACUGAACAAUUGGGGGCUGAUACUUAAUUAUCCUUAAAUAAAUUAUUAGUUUAAUGGAAGGAACAAAAUUCAGGAAAAGAGGAAUCAAACUGCAAAAGGAAUUAGGAUACCUGAAAAGAAAGAAUGAAAAUAACUUUUUUUUAAAAUUAUUUAUUUGGACAUUGUGACAAACAAGUGAUGUGCAUUGUUAAUUCUGAUUACCCCAAAAUGUCGAGUCUUUAAAAACGACAACAUUACAUGAUUCAUGAGAAUCCUAUCACUUUGAGAUUAAUUUAAUUAAAAAAAAGUUCCGUUUGCUUAAUACUAAAAUGUCACACUGAUCCAUAGUUGAGCCAAUUAUCUAGUUAAAAGCUACCUCCAUAUUUUUUAUUUUUACCCUAAUGCAUGUUUGAUUCUUUUAAAAUUUUACGUUAUAUAUAUUAAACAAAAAUUAUAAUUUUAAUCAUUGGAAAAUUAAUGACAGACAUCUUUUGAAUAAUUUUUUUUUUUGAAAAAUACAGAGCUAGAGAUAAUGCUAUAAUUGAUUGAAUAAGAAGGCUACAACUUGAUGAUAACCUUAUUGCAAUGUUGCGUGAUCUCAAUAUAUUAUUGGCUUUUGUGUGAGUAAAAGUUGCUGGCUCGUGUUUUACUAAUUUGCCUUUGUAUUUGACUGGCUCGACAAAGAAUCGAUUUACCUCAUACUCAAAUUACAAACAUCAAAACCGGAUCUGUCAUUACGUUAAUUGGCCUCCUAAAAUAAUCAAUCACUUUCUCUUUAGUCUACCAUCCACUCUUUCCAGUCGUUAAUUAUUCUGUACCCAUCAGCUCUUUUAGCUCUUUACGUCGUGAUAGAAACCCUUUUCUUGUUUCCUUCAUCUCAUCUGAAAAACACAAUUGCUUGUCCUAUCGCUGUCUCUUUGUUUUUACUUUCGUUUGGCCUUCUUCGCUUCUACGUUUUUGUCAGGCUUCGAGAUGCUGGAAAUCAUUGUGACUAUCGUCUUGGAACUUGUAAAAUGCUUGGCUCCUCCAACUGCACGCCAACUUGUUUAUUUGCGAAAACGGAACUACAAUGCCAACUUUGAGAAUAUCAAGGCGGAAAUGGAGAAGUUGAAGGUUGAACGUACGAGCAUUCAGCGCAGGGUUUCAGAGGCGAAAGAAAAAGGGAAAGAGAUUGAAGAGAAGGUUGAAAAGUGGCUGGUUAGUGCGAAGUGCGAACGGCAUCAUUGACCGGGCAGCCAAAUUCAUUGAAGAUGAGGAGUCAACGAAUAAGCGCUGUGUGAAGGGCUUGAGUCCUAUUUGGAAGAGUCGCUAUCAGCUUAGCAAGAAAGCAAAGACGGAGGUGAAGGCCAUUAUUGAACUUGGAGAAGAAGUUAAGAAGUUUGAUACUGUUUCCCACCGUACCAUUCGGGAGGAGAUAUGGUUACGAGGCCUUCGAAUCAAGACUUCCUACUUUGCAGUCUAUAAAAAAUGCAUUGACGGAGGCGAAUGUCAGCAUUAUUGGGGUGUACGGCAUAGGCGGCAUUGGAAAGACCACACUGGUGAAGGAGUUUGCUAGGCAAGCCAGGGAAAAGAAGCUGUUGUAUCGGGUGGUUUUAUCAGAGGUUUCAUAAACUCCAGAGAUAAAAAAGAUUCAAGGGGAAAUUGCAGAGAAGUUAGGUCUGGAGUUGUCCGAUGAAGCUGAAUAUAGAAGAGCUAGCAAGCUGUAUGACCGAUUGAAGAGUGAGAAUAAGAUUCUUGUGAUUCUAGAUAAUAUCUGGAAACAUCUUGAAUUGGAGACGGUUGGAAUUCCUUUUGGAAAUAAUCAUAAAGGAUGUAGAUUGUUGCUGACAGCACGAGAUAAUACUGUGCUUUUAAGUAUGGGCUCCAAAGAUAACUUUUUGAUUGGCAAUCUAACUGAACAAGAAGCCUGGAGAUUGUUUAAGAUAAUGAAUGGUGAAGAUGUUGAAAAUUGUAAGUUCAAGUCUACAGCAAUUAAUGUAGUUAAGGCAUGUGGAGGUUUGCCCAUUGCGUUGAGGGCACUGAGAAACAAGAGUCUCCAUGAAUGGAAGAAUGCCUUGCGAGAGCUCCGAACGCCUUCAAUGGUAAACUUCGAAGGUGUGUCUGCAGAGACUUAUUCAAGUAUUGAGCUGAGUUUCAAUUAUUUAAGGGAAAUUAUCAUUUGUAUACCCUUAGUUUACUCCAUUAUCAAAAAUACUACAAUACUUUGAGGGUGUAUCAAUUGUCCACCCUAAGUUGACAAAAUGUAUCAGCUGACCACCAAACCGUUAGUUGCCGUUUAAGUAUGAUGACGUCAGAAGGGUAAUUUGGUCUUUUCAUAUGAUACAAGUGAUAAUUUAAGGGUAUAUAAGUGAUAAAAAGAGAAUUUAAGGGUAUACAAGUGAUAAUUUUCAAGGGUAAGAUUGUCAAUUCACUGUAACUCCGUUAACUUUCAAACGGCAACUAACGGUUUGGUGGUCGGCUGAUACAUUUUGUCAACUAAGGGUGGACGAUUGAUACACCCUCAAAGUGUUGUAAUAUUUUUGAUAAUAGAGCAAAUAUAGGGUAUAUGAAUGAUAAUUUCCCAUUAUUUAAAAGGUGAGCAAGUCAAGAAAAAUUUUCUGCUUUGUCGUCUAGUAGGUAACAGUGUUUGGUUUUCAGACUUAUUUAGAUACUCCAUGGGUUUGGGCAUAUUUCAAGGAGUCAACAUUCCCUUCAUAUUUACCAAAGGUAAGUGAUAAAUCCUACAUAUCCCACUCAAGAAUGCAUAAGUUUCUUCAAUCUCAAGUACCUAAAGUUUUCUUCUACGUUUAUAAAAAUUUCAGCACCAUCUCCCUAUAAUUCUCCAAGCUCACGACAUAGCUAUAUAAGUGUUUAUGUGUUAUGCCAAAACAACACAUGACACCCGUUCACCUAGAACGUACCCAGAGAACACGAGGAGCAGCUACUGAAAAAGCCAUAUUUAUGUGGAAAGAAAACUUCAGCUACUAGCUACCAGAGAGAACUAUGCAUUCCCAAACUGUCCAAGCCUGGACAAUUCAAGAAUUAUUAAUAGACAUAUGAUCCUCACUAUCAUCCAAAGAUGACACUAAUACAACAUGUGUCUAUUAAUAAUUUCUUAAACAAGUCUAAGCUUUCAAUGCACGUAUCAAAAGUUUAAAAUUGAAUCUGAAAUUUGAAUAACACAUAAAUAUCAUAAAUCUCUUCAAUUUAUUCCUGAAACAAUGUAGCAUUAUUUCACACGUCAUUUCUUAAGCAAAACCAUAAAAAAUACAAACGAUAAAUACAUUUUCCCACUGAUGCAGAUUAUGUUUACUGAGUAAUAAGUUUUAUGUCAUUCAUGUUGAAAUACUUCUGCCUAUUCUUUCAACAUAUAACUAGUACGUACACACAAUUAAUAAAUUUAAAAAAAAAAACUGGUGGUGAAUCUUGCAAAAUCUUCCUUUUUUCUUUUUUUUUUCUUUUUCUUCUUUUUUUUGGGGGGGGGGGGUGUGUUGGGGGAACUAUGAAUCUUGCAAAUCCUCAAGAAGCCAUGUUAAGACAAGGCCAGCUUACUAUUAGGGUAUGAAAGAUAAAACCUUUUAUUUCCUUUUCAGAAUAAAAAGGACAUUGACAGUGUUAAAAAAAAUCUAGAGGAUUUCAGGCCUCCAGAUCCUUACAAAUCAAGGAUAUUAAAAAAAAUUACUUAAGAGGAGAAAGGUUAUGCUCAUUUGUAUCUUGUUAGAAGAAAUUGAUCCAAAGCCUCAGUUUUAAUUUGCUUCAUAUAGCCAAUGACUAGGUGUUUAAAAACCAAUGAAUAUUUUUAUAAGAAAUCAACAAUAUUAUUGAAAGAAAAACCAAAUAAAAAUAAUAAAGCCAAUGAAUAGAUCAAGGCUCUUUGUGGUCUAAAACUAAUCAAACUAAGUUGUGGGCAAAGGCGAAUAUGUUUGUUUGGUCAAUAAUAAGCUCAACAAAUCACUAAUAAUCACCUAAUCACUAUUCCUUAUGCUAUGCAAUAUAAUGGCCUGGGUAAUGGCGCCAAGGCAGACAAUAAGUAGCUAGCCAGUUAUGAUAGUUGAUUAACUUAACCUACUGGAAAUCUGAAGACCAAAACGAAGAAGCUUUGUCUAGAACUAGAAUAGGAACGUUCGUACCCAAAACUAAUAUACACAAUUAAGAAACUUGAUUAUAUGUAUAUUUCUGUUGGCCACACUUAAAGAGAAUUUCCAAAAGAUGCUAAGGUACACCAAAUCCCACUAUUUCAUACUCAUAAACACAAAAAACCAUGGUAAAAAUUAAUGACUAUAUCAAAUAAAAUCGGUGAUAGGACGUUGAGAUUAGGACAACUUGAUUUGUAUACCGUAAAAUAACUAUAUCUGCAUGGUGAACUAUAUUUCUGUUAGAACUCUGAAGUUUUCUAUUAAAUUUUUUUCUCUGUUAGGUAAACCACUUAACUGAAGUGCUUAAGCCAAUUUUGACAAUCAUAGACAUAAAAGUAUUAAUAGGCUCAUUCAAGUGAAAUGAGCAUUAUUUCACACAUCCUUUAGGUUUUUAAGUCAUUUAGAAGUCAUUCAUGUUAAAAAAAAAAAAUUCAUAUACUUUCAAUAUAAUUAGAACAUACACAAUUAAUUAAUUAAAUAAAUCUGUUUCAGCUAGUAUAGGAACUUAAUUAAUCAAAGCUAGUAGUUAUAGCUAGGACUUGAACGAGGCACCUUUCAAAGUUCAAGAAGAGCAUCUGAACAUAAUGAAAGCACUUUCUAGAUAUGGUAAUGAUGCUUUACAUCUACAUGCUCUUACACAAUAUGAACUUUCAUUUACUCCAAGCUCUUAUUCUACAAGUCAAUUCAGUUUGUAGAUGCAAGCCAUUGUAAAAACUUUUGUAUUAUAAUUUCUGAAAAUAGAACGUAACAUUAUUAAUAUAGAAUCAGCAAUGUAUAUAACUUAUCAGACAAUAUAACAAGCACUUGGUGAGCAUACAAGAUAAACUAAAAUUUAAUAAUAUGUGGAAUUAAAGAUAAACUAAAAUUUAUGUUUAAACAUAAAUUUAAAGCAAAUCGAAUUGCAAAACAUUAGAAUGGAUGUUGGAAUUAAAGCUAAAUUCAAUAGUAAUUCAAAUGAAUCCAUUUGAACUUUGUAAAUUCCGCAGAACAAAAUUAAUUUGAGUGAGCAAACUCACCAAUGGAACAAGAACACAGGGGCUUCAACUUGUAGGAAUAAAAAAAUAUUGCUGGCGGGACAAAAAUUGACAAUAACGGCUACAAUACGAAUUAAAAAAAAAAUCAAAAUCUAUAAUUACAAGCUAAGUAAGAGAAGAAACUCAUAAUCACAAGCUUACCUCAAAAGAUGAAGGGAGAAUACGAUGAAGAAGAAGAUGCCCGGUGUUUUACGCCGUUCGCCGGCAACCAGUUAGGUUUACGAUGGUGGCUAGUCCAGCGAAUAGUUUUCUAACUGGAAAUAAAUUUAAAUUUCUAAAAUAGUACUAUACCGAACGGCUCUUCACCGUC
RNAcentral lists this long non-coding RNA (53182 nucleotides) under Citrus maxima (pomelo). Its description in RNAcentral is "long non-coding RNA (CMAX_LNC000098)". Lineage: Eukaryota; Viridiplantae; Streptophyta; Magnoliopsida; Sapindales; Rutaceae. The record is from RNAcentral.